RNAcentral lists this long non-coding RNA (53517 nucleotides) under Malus domestica (apple). Its description in RNAcentral is "long non-coding RNA (MDOM_LNC001255)". Lineage: Eukaryota; Viridiplantae; Streptophyta; Magnoliopsida; Rosales; Rosaceae. The record is from RNAcentral.
CGGAUAAGGGUGGUCGAAGGAGAGGGUCGGGUUCGGCUUUAUUGAAAGGGUAUCCGGGUCGAAGGAAAGGAUAUCGACCCGGUUCGAGUACUCCUCGAUAAAGCUGCCGACGGCGAUUCGGUGGUGCUGGUGGCGGGUUCGGGUUUGGGGCGAGGCAAAGGCCAUGGCGUACAGCGGGUACGGCGACUCGUACGUCACCGAGUUCUCCGCUCUGAGAUGGGAUUCUUGCGUAGAGUUCUCCAUUUUCUUCUUCCUCAAAUUUUCUCGGGAAAGUGACGGAAAAUUUGUCGAGAGGGAGAAGAGGCAGUCAGGGGAAGGCUUCGGGUCGGAUUUCUGAAGCGUGGGAGUGUUCGGGUUAGGAUUUUGGAAGGAAAUGCGCGAAGAGAUUUCUGAAGCAGGCGGUGCAAAGUGAAGAAACGACGUGUAGUUUGCGAGCGUGUAACGGAAAAGUUGGUUGGUAAACAAGUCGUCAAACAGUCAAAGUCGCUAGCACACGCAUUUUGACUGGACUUCUCCAUGGGCUUUAAUGUUAUUUAGGCCCACAUGUACAUGUGAUCCAGUAUAUGAAAAGGUUUGGAUUAAUUUUGGGCCUGAAAGUAGUUGGACUUUGAAAAUCCAAUGGAUCCAAGAUUACCUGUUUUUAGAGGAAGUCCAAUGGAUCCAAGAGUUCAUGUUUUCGUGUAAUUUAGGAGGGCAAAGUUUUAUGUAACGUACAAUACUAUUUGUACAUCUUUUGUACACAUGUGAACUAGAGCUGUUAGAUUGAAAUGGACGUGCCAGAUGAAGAGUUUAAUUUAAGUUACAACCGGGUCAACAAAACCUUUGCAUCCAUGCACCUUCCUUUCUCCUCGACUCUAGCAGAUAAGGCUUUGUUGUUGUUGUUGUAGAGAAAAAGAAAGCCAAGGGUUGCAGACCUGGGAGAGGAUGGAUUGCGAGACUGUGCUGAUAAUUUACAGUGAAAGAGAGUUUGGUGGAGGAGUGGAUUUCAAUGUCGUGGAAGUUUUUGGCAGGGGAAGAGAUGGUGUUUUUUUUCUCUGCGGUAGUGAUGUUUGGGCAGUGGUGCUUCUAAGGCAAUACUCGUUAAGUGGAGGGUUUGGUUUGGCAAAAAUAUUUUUAAAAGGUUGGUCAUGUGAUUGUUCACGUGAUAAUUUAACAAAGAUGUUAACAUAUUUUUUACAGAAUAACUAAAAUGAUUUAUAGAGGACAAACUCCGGUCCACUUCUAUUGAUUUGCAUUGUCAAAGACAAAAGUAAGGAGUCAUGUCAAUCUCAGAGACUAUUUUGGCUAAAAAGUCCAACUAAUUAUUACAUGAGAUGGAAAAACCAUGGAUCUUGAUGCACAAAGUUAGAUUAACUUAGAUUCAAUCAAAAAAUCACACAAACACACUAGAACAAUAGUUAUUUUGUAGUUAAUCCGAAGUUGGCCUACGUUCACGUUGAUGUAGUUUCCAUUGAGAGAGUAAGGUAACUAGGGUCUAAGAUACAAUGGAAGGCCCCUCCUAAAAUGAGGGUGAUCAAAUCUUUACGGGACAAUGUUCUUCCUAUCGUUUGGCAAAGUUGUCACGGUGUUAUCAGUUCACCAAAAUAAUAUGCACAGUUGUUUAAUGUAGUAUCUUUUUGUUUUUUUUUUGGGUUUCUCUCUUUCUCAAAUAAUAUUAAUAAAAUAAAUAAAUAAUAAUAAUAAUAAUAAACAAAAUAUUAACAAAAAAAGAGUUUAACAAUUAGAAUGUAUUGUAUUUAAGAAAAACUAGAUCGACAUCCAUGGCGAUGGACAUUUCGUCUCAUUCAAUAAUGCACAAAAAUGUCAUGUGAUGUUUACGUAUUACCUCACACACACACAUGUUUCUUGCAACAACACAUCAUUUUUAGCAUCAGUAUUAAAUUGAUAACUUAAUUUAAAGGUGAAAAAAACUAUAUAUAUACAAACAAUUAUGCAGAUGAUGUUACUCCAUCUCCAUCAUAAGUUGCGUAAAUGAACACUUAGGUCAAUGCUUGUUAGAGUGGGGUUUUUUAAGUGUCAAACACAUGUGACGAUGUUAGUGAUUAUAAAUUGCACUAUAUUUCGGAAUCAUAUAUUAUUUUCCUUAUUCUUUCAUCCCACAAACGCACUCAAAUUUUCUUUUUUUGACUAAUUUGUGGUUCAACUCGUGUUGAUGUGUAGAGUAAUUUAUAUAGAACGAAUUGACCGUUACGUGGUAUUUUUAUUUAAUAAUAUAAUAUCAUAUGUUGAAACUUAAUUACACAUAUUAUUAUCCAAUUGAAACAGGGUAAUACAAUUAAAGUAAAUUAGUUCAAUGUUAUUUUUUUUUUAUCAACAUAACAACAUAUUAGUAACUUAUCUUAUAUAUUCGACCGCAUGACAUCUGUAGCCAAGUUCCUUUCCUCAUCUAUGGCCAAGAGUGGAUGGCAAUUUGGUGCAACUUGGGAGGUCGAUAGGACAUGGGAGGCAUUGAUAGGACAUGGGAGUCAUUGACUAGAUCACCACACCAAGUCAACAUGCUUAUCAGUUUAUAUUGAGGACAAGGAUUGUCUGUCAUCUACUUUCGGUGCUCUUUUCGUACAUUUCUGUUUGUGUGGUCACGGUUAAAUCACUUCAAUAUUUUAUAUUAUUAUUUAUUUUUAUCUUAUUAUAUCUAUAAAAAAACAAUAUAAAAUGUAGACGUGGUUUAACUGUGACCACACAAAACAAGAGGGUACGGAAAAGGCAUCGAAAGUGGAGGGCAGAUAAUUCUUAUCCUUAUAUUGAUGCCACCGACAUACAGGCUGGCGGUGGCCUAACUUUUCUUCUUACCUAACGUCAUCACCUCGUCAUGGGAUGACGCACAACGAAGCUGCAAAUAUGAUGUCAAAACCUUGUAUCAAAACCCUAGCUUUGAGUUCCACAGAUUGACCAUUAUUUUUAGUUUCUCGAGGGCAUGGGGGGCUCAGUUAAUCGUGCCAUGACUAAUUAACAAAUGCUAUUUACUAUUAUAUAUGUAAUAAUUCACGGUCUCAACUCUCGAAAACGAACAGAAACUAAAUAUAUUUAAUGUAAUUGGAUCAAGAAAAAGGUUUAGAUCUAUAUGCUGCUUGUGGUCCAGCCUCCAUGGAUGGAGCCAUUGCUCUCUUGGAAGCCAAACUUUAUUCGCGAAAGUUGUAGGAUGCGGACGUUGUAUCAGUAAAGCUGACUCUUCCUGUCUAUAGCUAAGUUCAUAUUCCCACAACCUUCGAAAGAUUUAUAUCUCUGGUUACACAUAAGCACGACACAUAAAAGCUUUUUUGCUAAAAAUUAUAUUCUUAAUGUUUAAGGUACAACGAAUUUGGACAAGACCUACAGAACUAUGAAUAUGAUGGAUGUAUAUCUGUAAUAACACAAGAGCAUGACACGUGAGUAUCUGUUGCGAUCUAAUAAUUGCUUAUAUAAAGUACAACGGAUUUGGACAAAACAUGCAGAAAGAUUGUCUGCCCUCCCGUGCCCUCCUAUUUGUGUGAUCACGAUUAAGUCACGUCAACAUUUUAUAUUACUAUUCAUUUUUGUCUUGUAAUCUCUAUAAAAAAAUAUAUAUAAAAUGUUGAUCUGGCUUAACCGUGACCACACAAAACAGAAGAGUAUGGAAUGACACUGAAAGUGGGAGGGCAGACAAUCCUUAUCCGAACUUUUGAGUAUUGAUGAGUGUAUAUAACACAGAAGCGUCUGUGCGGUUCCAUGAUUCAAUUACCGACGUGCCAUAUGUACUGUAGAUAGCUGAGGUUUUGAACUGAUUAAUUUCAAGUUUGAAAUUGACGUGGCUGAGGUUUUGAACUGAUUAAUUUCAAGUUUGAAAUUGACGUGUGAACUAAUUUUGCAACAAUACCACAUAUUUGUUUAUAGAAACUCAGAGUUUUCUUUCAGAAGCUUCAAUUGUAUUUUCAUUACACAAUAAUGUUAUUUCAAGAAAGAGUAUAUAUAGUCUUUGGCUUUGUACAGUAAUACCCUCAACUAAUCUCAACUAACAAUUCACUGUUAAAACAAACCAGUGACAACUUUUGAUGAUGUGGCAUUUGCCUCAAUACACCCUCUCAAGCUAAAAUUGGAAUUUGUAAUGAUGCCAAUUGGAAGCGUGGACUUCAAGUAACAGAACCUGAUUUUGGAAAAGGGACUUAGUGUAAGAACUGCUAAUUGAUCUUCACUAUAGACAAAUUGAACUUUGAUGAGAUUUGCAAGAACCAACUCUCGGAUGUAAUGAUAAUUGAUUUCUACAUGUUUAGUUCUUGCAUGAAAUACAAGAUUUGAGGCAAGUGAAAUUGCUGAAAUUUUAUCACACCACAAAGUAGGAAUAGUUUUGAGAGGAAAGCCAAUAUCAUGAAAUAUUUUGUAGAUCCAAGUGCGUUAUGCAACUAUGUGUGCCAAAGAUCCAUACUUUGCUUCUGUUGAUGAUCAAGCUACAAUAGCUUGUUUCUUGGCACUCUAGCUAAUUUAAUUUGGACAUAGAAAAACAUUGUAUCCACUCGUGGAUCUUUUGUCAAAUGUACAUCCUGUCCAAUCUGCAUCAGAGUAUGCAGUGAGAUUAUUACUACCCUUUUUAAACCAGAUGCCCCUAAGGAAUGGAGCCUUUUAAAAACUUGAGAACCCUUUUUGCAGCUUUCAUAUGUUGUUCCCUGGGAGCAUGCAUGAAUUGACAGAUUUGGUUCACUACAAAGGAGAGAUCAGGCCUUGUCCAAGUCAAAUAUUGCAGGCCACCAACAAUGGACAUGUAUUAAGUAGGAUUAGGGAGACGAAGGCCACUGUGAUCAAGCUUGGUGGAGCUGAGAGGAGUACAACAUGGCUUAGAACCUUCCAUAUUGGUUUUCUCAAGAAGGUCAAGUAGAUACUUUGUUUGAUAAAGAAAGAUACCCUCAGAUGUUUUUGAACUUCCAAUCCCAAGGAAUAAUGCAGAGGUCCCAGAUCCUUGACUAGAAAAAUGGCAUUCAGUUUUUGAAUGAAUAACUGACAUAUAGAAGCAUUAAGGCCUGUAACAAAUAUGUCAUCUACAUACACUAUGACAAUUACCAAGGUUGGUCCUUUGGAAACAAAUAAGGAUGCAUUUGAGGAAGAUUGAACAAACCCAAACGUGAGAAGAGCUUGGAAUAGCUUGUCAAACCAAUCUCUUAGUGCCUGUUUAAGGCCUUAUAAAGAUUUCCUCAUCUUACAAACAUGAUGUGGCAUUGAAGGAUCAAUAAAACUUGUAGGUUGCUCCAUAUACACAACUUCUUUCAAAUCACCAUAAAGAAGUGCAUUAGUUGAGGGUAUUAUUGAAUAAAGCUAAAGGCUAUAUAUACUCUUUCUUGUAAUAACAUUGUUGAAAAUACAAUUGAAGCUUCUGAAAGAAUACUCUGAUGAUGUGGCAUUUGCCUCAAUAUUGUAGGCUAUUGUAUGUCGACCAACCCUAAUUAUCUUUUUUUAGUCAAGAAGAAAUUCUAAUUAUAUCUUGUCUAAUGUGAUCGUCGAUCGUAAUAGAAAGUUUAAUAAUCGAAUAAACCACUAAACAAACCGAUUAGGCAUGAGAGGAUCAUAAAGGUGGCCGAAAAACACAGUCGCUAACAACGGUGGACUAAGGAGAAAAGCCAUUAAUCCCUCUAGAAUUUUAGGGUUAGGAUAAUUUCCUUAUGAUUAUGAUGGGGGAGCGUGAGAGGCUAGGACAUCUUAAUCCUGUACUGAUCGGACCCCACGGGAUGAACUAGGGUACAUUGAAUGGGGUGGGAUUGGAUGGCACCUAACCUACCUAAGCAAGUCUUUCAAUAUUUGAAUAAUGCAUCGCACCAGUUUUUCUACCGCCAUGCAUCGCACCAGUAUUAAUAUUGGUGAUUGGUCAGUGGCAAGCUCACAUGCAUGCAUGUAUAUACAUCUAUCUAUGGGCCAGUGGCUGCCCUGCCGGCCAAGGUCCUUCCUCCAUCGAUGUGAAAAUUCAUUCUUCAUGCAUUAUCUUGUAUGUGUGAUAAAUUUUCAAGUCUAAUAAGUAGACAAUACAAACGGAGUGAUGUAAAGCGUGUGUAACCAUUGGGCUUAACACGUGUGAUAAUAUGUUCUGAUAUCAUGAAGAAAAUUUAAAUUUCACGAUAAAACCAAUUAACAAUAUGAAAAGUAAUCUAACUUAUAUUUAAUAUUUUCCCUCCUUCCAUCAAGGGGAAUUUUAUUCUCAACAAAUACUAACAGACAGUCAAACCGACCCUUUUCCUUUUUAGGGCAAGCAUGCAUCAUGAGGUGGGGAAGGAGAUCUUCUUGUCCAUAAAACUAUCAUCCUAUUUCUACACCAUUGAUUCAUUUUCCACAGCUUAGCUUUAGAGGUUCUAUUGUAUUUUACUAUCAUCCUGCAUGUAUGAAUGGAACAUAAUCAAUCGAUUGAUUGUUUUGGUCGGAAAGAUAAGAUUCGAACGUUUUAACACGACAGAAGAUUAGAACGUUUUAACAUGACAUAAGAUAGACAAGCUAACUCUUGAUGACUAAUACCAAAAGGAAUUAUUAGUACUAUUACAUGGUUGAAGUUUUCUAUACGCAAAAAAUAUUCAACUCAUUAAAUAUAAUCCCAUUCGUAUAAGCUAUAAUCGUCAUCUUUUAGGGUUUUAGCUAUGAUGUAUAUUAGCCAUUCUAAACCACACAAAAACUGCGUUUUCUACACUCCACGGCUGACGUAGCUGCACUUGCAAUUGCUAGACGUUGAUGGGGGCAGUAAAGGUAGAUUUUUGGGAAUCUAGUUAGUGAGCCAUGUGUAAGUUAUGCAGAAAUAAUAAAAUCUAGAUAGGAAGUAGGCCAUGAGUAAGUAUUGAAAAAAAUAUUCCCUAAUUGCAUUGCUUCCAAUUUUAAUUUACUUUUUGUUGACUUUAUAGUUUAUACAUUGAUAAAUCUUGAAAGAGAGAAAUUUUUUCAAUAUGUUCGGAAUAUGCGACAGUAAAUCAUAGAUUAUUAUACAAGUAUACAAAAAAAGUUAAGUGGUUGUGAGCAUUACAAUGUAGUUGAAUGAGUACCUAUAUGUGUUUGUCUAAGUCUAAAUUAGAGAUAAAGAAUGUGCUACACAAAUUUUAAAUUUAAAUUUAAAUAUUAAUGAUAAUUAAUGUAUUGGUAAUGCUCACCGGAAUCGGAUCCUCUCCGGAUCCCUUCUCUAGGAAUCCCCGGAGAUCCUUUAAUCACCAACGUUCAAUAAAAGAGCAAUGGUCAGGAUUCAUUUGAUUUGUUUUUUUCCUCUUUACAUUACUCCCUCUUUCUUUUUCAUCGUCUUCUUCAACCUCUCUCAAUCCUCACCUUCUUCUCUUCACCGUUUCCAAUAAGACCAAACCCAAUCAUGGGCUAAAUGCUAUUUUUUAGGUUUUAUUUCCCCUCCAAGCCCCCCAGGAUUUAGCCCAGGAAAUGGUGUGGGCACCACCAACGGCACCCCACCCACAUGGGCUUCUCAGGAUUUAUUAAAUAUAACGACUGAGAUCGAAUAUAAUCAAAUCUAACGGUAAAAAAAAAAGAUAUAACGGCUCAAAUUUAAAUCCAACGGCUAAAAUAAUUAAAAAAAUUAUUUCUCAAAAUUCACCCAAAUGUAGAGAUUUUUCAAUAUUUAUAGGAAUUUAAAUAUUUUUAGGUUAAAAUAUUCAUAAAAUUAAAUUAUGAUAGUGUACAUAAUGUUUUUUAAAUUACUUUAAAAGAAAAAAUUAGCCUAAAUUUAUCUUUAAUAAUCUCAAGCUAAAAAAUUUAAGCCAGAAGCUAGAAAGGUUGAAACAGAAAAGUUAUUUCUAAGCUCAAACUUAAAUUUUUUAGGCUAAAAUGUUUAGAUUUUAGAAGUUGGAGAUGGUCUAAAUCGGCGUGACAUCUUUCUCUCUCCGUCCUAUUUUGCUUCUCAGUGUCACCUUCCCCUCGCCUCCUGCAUCUCAGAUUUCAAAACAAGUACAUUUGUUGGUCUCAAGCAGAAAAUCAAUCAAGCCAACUCAUUAAACACCCCAAAACCCGAUCUUUACCCUCGCCCUCCAUCCCUAACCCCUAUUUCUUCACCCAACAAAAAACGCCCAUAAACCCAGAAUUUUUUUUAAUAUACGAUUUUUUUUGUAUUUUCCAAACACCCUUAUAACCCAUGAAUUAAAAUUUCCGAACAGCCACGUAAUUGAUUGCAGGGAGGAAGAAAAUUUUUGUCAGAUUUCGUGUUUGAUGUGAAACCAUGAAACCAAGGGAGGGAGGAUGAGGAGAAAAAUAGUUUGGAUCGAUCUUCGAUUGAGCCGUCUCACGAAGAUCGGAACUCGAAGGCUCGAGGAGCAGCCCCUAAAAGGGAAGCCGUGGAUACGGCGUGUUCGUCACUGCAGUGUUGAAAGACAAGGGAGAGAGGCGGACGUUUUGAUGCGAAAUUGGGUUCCAAGCUUUUUGAUGGAAAAAUAGGGAGAGAGGGGGGAGAGGAAAGAGAGAGACUUUUUAAUGUUAAAACUAUUAAAAGAAAAUUGAUUACUAGCCGUAGGAUAUCAUCUAACGGCCACGACAUGAUUGGUCUGGAGGCUCUGUGAAGGUUCCGGCGAGGACCCGAGCCCAUGCUCACCAGUACUACUUCGAAAUGGUGACCUAAAACGGUCUCGAACAAAUUUAGUGAACCUUUUAGUUUGUUCGGACAAAGGUUCUCUUCUAGUAUACAACCAACACUUAGCAAUCCAUGCAUACGAUGAAAGUAGUGCUUCGGGUUGGUUUUUUUUCGCAUGUCUGAAAACUAAAGAAUCUGAUCAAGGAAGAGAGCCGCCCUGUAGCUUGUUCAUAUGCAAUUCCAGUACGUUCGCUUUACUCUUCUUUCUAUACGAAGUAAGGCCCCACCUCUUCGAUUUGUAUUUUGUAAUAAGACUUCGCUGGGUUGCUCUUGCUCACUAAAUAAAAGAUAGAAGAUAAGACAUAUUUAUAAUUUGAUUGUCUGUAGUUUUUACAUAUCAGCAACUUUACCGUCCAUUAAUCCCGCACCAAGUGUCACAUAAAGAUUGGCUGCAAGACCGAAGCCUGUGCAAGUCAAUGCUGAUGAUGAAAUUUGAGGGCAUCUGCAUCAACUCCCUUAUAAAUAACCAUGUGCAAUAUCACUUACUAAGCUGUGCAACUUCCUAGAACUUGCUCCAAAUUAAGCUUAGCAGCUGGAGAGGAUGCAGAUUUUUUAUUGCUGUCUUUGUCUCCCCCUUCAAACUUAAUACCGAAACAUGGAUACAAAAGUACUCUCCUCCGGAGUCAUAUACACCAACUUGCCGGAAAGCUAUGUCAGACCAGAAUCCGACCGGCCUCGCUUGUCCGAAGUCUCUGAAUGCGAAAACAUUCCCGUUAUUGACCUGGCUUCUCCCAACAGAGCCCAAACCGUGCAGCAAGUUGGCGAUGCCUGCAAAUAUUAUGGUUUUUUUCAGGUACCCUCCUCCCUAUAUCAUUAAUUAGGAUCUUAUUUAUAUGGAUCCAUCCCUAUCUCACUUUAGUUAAGAUACAAGAUAUUGCGAAACUCAACAACCGCAUUUUUCACAAACCCAGUGCAUGUACAUAUGUGUGUGUACAUAUUUCUUGAUAUUCGAGUGAUUUCGGUGCUAGGUUAUUAACCAUGGGGUGUCAACGGAAGGAGUGGAAAAAAUGGUAGGGGUGGCCAAUGAGUUUUUUAACCUUCCUGUGGAGGAAAAAUUGAAGCUGUACUCAGAUGACCCCUCAAAAACCAUGAGACUUUCAACAAGUUUUAAUGUAAAGAAGGAGAAGGUUCAUAACUGGAGAGAUUAUCUUCGCCUCCAUUGCUAUCCUUUGGACAAGUACGUUCCUGAGUGGCCCUCCAAUCCUUCGUCCUUCAGGUACGUUUCUCUCUCUCUCAAUUAUUUGUCUCUCUCUGAUAUAUGCAUCAGACACCAUUGGUAUAUUAUUCUUUAGGCAAAUGCUAUGCUGACUGUCAACCACGUUGCUUUCUAUCAUAUGUAAUUCAUAGUGUACUACGUACAAGGUUCUAAAAGCACUAAUAGGGUAGCGGGUUGGGAUCUAGCGCCUAAGCGGCUAGGCGAAACCUCGACGGAUUUAAAUAAAUCUAUUGUAUUUUGUGUAAAUAAGUGUCUGUUUAUAUUUAAAAUAUUUAUAAUUUCAUCAUAAACUAGAAAAUAAAAUGUUAUGUAUAUUAUGAAGUAUUGGAACAUAAUGAAAACAUGAGAAACAAACAUAUAAUCUAUGUUUAUUUAAGUGUUCAAUAAAUCUCUUACAAUUUAUUGAAAACAAUAAAAUGCAAAAGGAAAGUUAUCUAUUUUCUAUCUAAGUGAGUUGCAACCGAGGCAGUGCCUAGGCUGUUUGAGCUGGCUAGGCGGAUGCCUCAGUAGGUCUAGACGUUAUUUCUUAAUUUUUAAACUCCUAGGCAUUAAUCGGGACGAUGGCCAGUCGCCUAGCGCCUAAGCGGAGAUUGUUAGAACAAUGACUACAUAUAUGAUAUAUCUUAUAGGUCUUUAAUAAAAUAAGUUUUCCAUUAGAAAAUAAUUAAUGUGCAAAAAAUUUACAUCAUCUUUUUCAUAACACGGGACAUGCUUAUCUAAUAUUUGAACUCCUAAGAACGCUCCUCGAUUACGUCUGUUACAAGAAAUUUUAUAAUCAGAAAAGUUUUGAUCAGUUCUUUUCAUAUUUUAAAAUACUCACACGGAGACAUUCUGAAACCUUAAAAUCUCUUUUUGUACAUUGAAAAGCGAAAUAUUAUAAUAGGAACCAGAUAGAUUCAGUCCGAUGUAAUUUGUAUAAUUUUUAGUUUUUAGAGUUUAGCUAGGUUUCUAGGGUUUUCUAAACAAUGUUUAAUUAUCAAAAUUAGUUUUCUUUAUACAUAAAUUUAUAUAUAAUUUGUAUGUUGCUUUGCUAAUUAGUAGUUUCUAGUUAGCAUAUGCCCCUAGUAGUUUCUUAAGAAUAAAUGAAAACACUUAAAGAGUAGUUUAGUCGGCAGCAGUUGCAACCAUUUCUGAUUAUUGUAGGAGGAAAAUGGAUGCACGUUGACUUUGUCAGAGUCGAAUCGGGCUCGAUCAACGGCGGUGGGUAAUUGUCGGAUGAUAUUUUAAUUUGAGACGGGCCGACCUACAUGUUACGCAUUUGAAAAUCUACCCGUACGAGAGUCGUGGCUGAUUGACGGUGAUUGCGGCAUUUUGAGGGUAGGAAGGGGAGAUCCCAGCCGUUGAUGCAUUUUGGUUUUAUAAUACAGUGGGGUAGUGACGUAAGGGGUUAUUCCGCGUUGAUGUAGGCAGUAUGGAUCAUGUGUUUGGUGCGUGAUUGGCUACGUGUAAAAGCGGCAAGCAACCAAUUUAAUUUAACUUAAUUUAAUUUUCUUCAUAAUAUAAUGUGAUGUUUCAAAAAAAAAAAAAUCUAAUAUGAUUCAAUUUUAUAGAGUGAUGCAUUGAACUUUGCAUGAAAGUAGUGCGAGAGUCGAAUCGAGAUGUUGACGUAAUCUCGACUCGAUUCGGAAAAAGACUUAGGAAACAAAAACGUUUAAAUAAAGGUGAAAAUCUUAUCAUGUUUUGUUACGUGCUUUAAUUUUCUUUUAAUUUUUUUUUCUUACAUAAAAAUAUUAUUUAAGAUAUCUUCUCAUGUUUUUUAUAGGGGUGUGCUAUCUACACACCCCAUUUUACUUUUCACACACCCUUUAAUAAUUUAUGUCCAUUGAUCUUCUUCAAUUCAUCCGAUCCGACGGUUGAAAAUUAAAAAGGUGUGUGAGAAGUAAAAUGAGGUUUGUAGAUAUCACACCCCUUUUUAUAUGCUCGGAACAUGAAUACAGUCGUUAUAUGUAACCAUACAAAGUGAAGAAAUACUUAAAAAAAUAUCUUUUUCACUUUAUAAUAAACUAUUCCGCAUUAUAAAACAUUGAAAAUUAUUUCCUCGUGUCUCGUUUUGUUGUCCGUAGCCUUUCUUCAAGUUGAUACUGAGUCAGCAUUGGGCCAUCGAAACUUGUCGUGUCCAAUACGUGGGAUUUUACUGGUCCCUGUAGCUAAAUGGUAUUAAAAUUCAAGGGCAUGGUCCACGGGUUAUUAAAAAAUUAAAAGAAAACUAAUAAAAAAAAUUUGACAACUUUGAGUUUUAACAAAAAUGUGUUGUAAGUGAAUAAUAUCAUGAUUGAAUUUUUAGAGUAAAAAUGUGGUUUUUCGUUAAAGUGAACAGUAUCGAAAGCUUUUCGUUAAAGUUUUCAAAAAUUAAUUGUCAUUAACAAAAAUCUUCUUUUAAUUAAUCUUUUUUGGGCCGGUUCAAGCCGAAAUUAGGUUUGGUUUGCUCUUUCAACCUCUUACAUUAAUUCUUGUGAGCUGCAGGGACACUGUGGGUAAUUACUGUAGAGAGGUUCGAGAACUCGGAUACAGAUUAGAGGAAUUAGUAUCAGAAAGUUUAGGGCUGGAGAAAGAUUACAUAAGGAGCACAUUGGGCGAGCAAGGACAGCACAUGGCGGUCAACUUUUACCCGCCAUGUCCGCAGCCCGAGCUGACUUACGGGCUGCCGGCCCACACCGACCCAAAUGCCCUAACAAUUCUGCUCCAAGACCUUGGAGUUGCUGGCCUUCAAGUUCUCAAAGAUGGCAAAUGGGUUGCUGUCAAUCCCCAACCUAAUGCCUUUGUCAUUAACAUUGGUGACCAAUUACAGGUAACAUAUAAUCCAAAAGAUUUCUCUGUAUGACGUCUAGUCUUCUUAAAGGUUGAAGUAUUGAAGAAUAUCACUCGCGAUCCAUUUUAUUAACUUUAAUCCUAUUCGUCGAGAGUGUUGAUUACAUAGGUAAAAAUUACGCUUUGAAGUUUCGAUUUUUUGUUAUAGGUAUCAGAUUGUUUAUUCAAACUCGAAUUUUAUCCAAUCGUUAAUUUACACCCUAAAACAAGCAACCAUAGUAAGUUCAAUCAAAGUUAAAGAGAACUAAAGAAAUGAGGUUUUCUCAUCGAGACGAUUCUUUAAGCAUAUCCACAUAAUAAUUAGCAUACUAUACCUUAAAAUUGAAACCGUAAAAUGUGAUCAUUUACAUGUAUAUCAACCAUUCCCAUAAAUGAGAUAAAAUUAAGUUAAAUAAAAUUGAUCGCAAAUGAUAUUUUCUCAAAACGUAAAGUUCUUGUAUUCUGAAAUUAUUGACUGGUGCAGGCUCUAAGUAAUGGGAUUUACAAGAGUGUGUGGCAUCGGGCCAUUACCAAUACUGAAAGACCAAGGCUCUCAGUAGCUUCAUUCUUCUGCCCACAAGACGAUGCUCUAAUAAGCCCAGCAAAAGCUCUCACAGAGGAUGGAUCUGCAGCCAUAUAUAGGGGAUACACCUACACUGAGUAUUAUAAGAAGUUUUGGACUCGGGACUUGGAGAAAGACCAUUGUUUGGACCUUUUCAGGACUCAGCAGCUGCCCUAGCCUCAUCAAAUGAGAGAUUUUUCAAUGUGACUAUCACACGAGGUGGUACACCAUGUGUCUCUAUAUAAAUGGUGAAUUAUGUGUGUUAAAAGGUUAAUAACUUAAAAAAUAAAAUUUAUAUCAUUUGCAUAAAAACACAUGGUGUACCAUCCGUAUUCCCGUCACAACUAAAAAUUUCUCUCAUCAAACAUAUAUGCGUUUGUUUAUUCAAAGACGCACAAAACUCGUAAUAUAUUUGUUGCUUAUCAAAUUAUGGCUUCUCAUGGCAGGUUGGAAUGCUUCUGUAAUUUUGUUGAUUUAAUUUCUUGAUCAUAGUAUCAGUUUGAAUGAACAUCGUGAAAAAUAAUUUCCCAGCUUCGUCAUGAAUAAUAAUGUCCGUCAUUUUAUUAUUCCCUUCUUGCCAUUUUCUCUGUUUUAGGAGAGUUCGUGUAUGAGUGGCUGUAUGCCGAACCUUAUUAACGGUAGGUUUGGGUGAUGAGAAAAUACAUGGAGUCCUGAUUUUGUAUUUGUGGCAGUACAUACAUCUGUCUGUUGUACGACAAGUUUUCUCAUUUGUACGACUCAUUUGGAAGUGAUUUUAAAAUGUCUAGUUUUCAUUAUGAAUUGUUGGUUUCAUAAAGAGUAGGAAAGAUAUCAUGGUUUUUUUUGUUGUAUUAAUUUAUAACAUUUUUAAGGGAAGUGUUAUUGGCACUCCAAAAAUCUCAUUCUACACUCCUCACAAGUGUAUUUUUCUUUCCUAAUAUGAAAGUUUGGAGUGUGGAAUAUGAUUGUUGGAGUGCUAAUAACAAUUUCCCAUUUUUAAUUAAUAAAUAUUUAUUCAUCGUGUGGCAUUCACAUCAGUAGAAAAUUUUGAGCCCAUUGUUUUACUUGUUAAUUAACAAAAUUUCUAAAGGUAAGUGGUACAUUGCAACAUAAUACAAAGUUCAAAUGGUAAAUAAUACAAAUGAAAAAUUCAUAUGGUAGAUGCGCACAUCGACAAAAGUGCAUAUAGUAUUUACGUAAACUCCUCUAUUUUUUUUUAUAACUUAUGAAAGCCUACCUAUGGUGAAAAAUCCACAUGCGAUCACCAUAUAAAAAACCAAAGCAAUAUGAAUACAGAAGUUAUCAUACCUAAAGCCAAAGUUAUAUUCAAUUCUUCUUAAGAAGUUCAAUGACAUAGGUAUUGAAUGCAGGGCACAUGACUCGGAAGCCUUGGAAUCCAGAUCCUUUAGCCAAGACCUCGAACUCCUCCUCCGUUCUCUCUCUUCCGCUAGGGCUGUUAGUUAACAUGAUCAGGUCGUGAUGGGCAACUACCUUGGUGGCAAGGUUGCUGGUCGGGGCUACCUGAAGAAUGCACUCGGCAAGAAUCACCUUGCCGUUAUCAGGAAGAGCAGCAUAGCAGUUCUUCAAAAUCUUCAGACAAUGCUCGUCACUCCAGUCGUGACAUACACACUGUAAGAUUGCAAACACAAUUUUAAUAUUAGCUCCAUAUAUAUUAACCAUCCAAGCAUGAUCUCAUCCGAAAUUGUUAUUAGCAAUACAAGUAGUCAUUGACUUUAUUUUUGAUAAAUCAUAUAUAACUCACCUUCAUGAAAAUUGCAUCUCCUUUUGGAACAGUUCCAAACAUGUCUCCUCCAAUGUGCUCCACACCUGUAUCCAAAUCCAUAGAUCUCAAACUCAUUAGGAAAAAUGAUAAAUAGUACAAGCAUUUUUUUUUAAUACAAGCAAAUACUGGAGGAGAGGAAUCAAACACAAGGUUUUUUCUUAACUAAUGGAGCUACAAGCAUAAUUGUAAAUGAAGAAUCUACCAGGAUAUUGGGGGGCAUCUUUGAUGACAUGAGGCAAGUCGAAGUUAAUGCCCUUAAUCGAAGGGUACUUAGAAACGAUCAUGUUAAUGACAGCACCAAUGCCACCACCAACAUCAACGACGGAUGUGAGGCCCUCAAAGCCCUUGUAGGUCUCAAGAAUUUUCUUCAUGGUAAUGGUGGAGAUGUCAGCCAUUGCCCUGUUGAAGACCUUGUUGAAUCUUGGGUCAGUGCUAUGGUACUCAAAAGCAGUCAUUCCAUAGGCCUUGUUGAAGGGAAUCCCUCCUUCAAGAACUGCAUCUUUCAGGUGGUACCUGCAGAAACCCAAACAUACAUGUCAGACUCACAACCAAAAGCACAUAUUAUGUGUAAAAUAAAACGAUAUGCCAAUGGGUCAGUAACGGUCAUAUGGGUUGGCCCAUAUUGGUUUAUACUACAAUAGCAAAGGCACGAGGUAUAUUGGACUGGGCAAUUGGUAAAGCAGUAAACCGUUGUAUCCGAGUUAAAUUUUAACUUCUGACAUUUUAUUAUACUAUAAUUCAUGAGAAGGAAAUUCAAAUUUAUGCGUUAAUGAAAAAACACACGUCAUUAGUUAAUUGAUCUAAUUCAUAUUGUAAUUACAUUUUUACGAUGAAAAGAACAAGAGUGGUAUUCGGGGAUAUUGCUCUUCGCACUCUUUUACCUUUUCACACAUCUUUAUUAAUUUUUAUCUAUUAAUUUUUUUCAACUCAUUCUAUUCAAAAGUCAAAAUUUGAGAAAAAUAUAUAAAAGAUAAAAAUAAGUGUAUUUAAAGCACCACACAUCAUAAAAUAGGUCACCAGACAUCACUCAUCAUAUACCGUUCAUAUCCUUUCGUGUAUGAGGCAUAUGUUGUCAAUUUAUUCUUCCAUUUAUCGGUCCUCUCCAACGCCUUCUGCCUUUUUUAUGCCACACAAGUCCAAAAGUAUAGUAAAUUCGACUAUAUUCUAACUUUAGUUUGAUGUACUUAUAAAUUAAUGUUGAGACUCAACUAAUCAAAUCGAACAACUGUAAAAUGUCACGUGGUAAUAAUUGGUCACUUCUUUGUUAAUUUGAAAUUUAGAUUUUAUUUGAAGGUUUAAAACAUAAUGAGAUUUGCCACUACGGUUUAGUGGUAUUCUUUUUCAUUUGUAAGUGAGAUAUCUUAUGUUCGAUUAUCGCUAAAGGCGAAUUCGAAUCACAUUAUUGCUAACCCAUUAUAAGGUUAAGUCCACCCUCUCAUUUUAGUAUAGAUAAUAUCGUUUAAUUUGUUAAAAAAAAAACAUAAUGGGAUUUUGCCACUUAAAAGUGAAUUUGAACCACAUUAUUGUUAGCUCAUUAGAAGACUCAACCCACUUUUCUACCUUGUAGAUAAUAUCGUUUGUUAAGAAAAAGAAAAUGUAAUGAGAUUUUGUCUCCAAAACAAUUGUUGCAAGGAUUUUUUUUUUUUAACAAUCGAUAUUAUUUACACUAAGGGGGAGUGAGCAGUCUAAGCCUUACAAUGAUGUAGCAAUAAUGUGGUUCAUAUUCCUCUUUGGCAAGAAUCGAACCUAAGACCUCUCACUUACAAGUAAAGAUAAAUACCACUAAACCGUAAUACUAAUUAAGUGGCGCAAAGACUUUAACUCUAAACAACACAAACAAAAAAAAUGAAACGGCUUCACCUAACGGGACUCUAAAACUUCGAACCCCCAAACACCAAACCGGCCAAAGGUAACAGUAGCAUUUUAUGAUUGUAUUAUGAUCAACCUAGCUAUUUAAAUCCUAUUAAUUAAUGUUUGAUAAGAUCCAAUUAAGAUGAUAAAUUAAGAAGAAUGGUAAGUACCAGCUCUCAACAGGGACCUUGUCCAGGUUCAUGAGGCAGAGAGAAGCAAUAGAAACACCAUCCUCAUUCGUUGUCAGGAACUUACAGACAGGGCCUAGGCCGUACAGCCGCUCGACUUUGCCAUCCUGAAGCGUGCGGAGGGAGUAAGCGAGGAUGGAGUAGCUGGCCAGGAGGCGCAGCAUGCGGUCCAGCAUGACGGGCGCGUCAGGGUUCUUGGUCGGCAGCUGCGAAGCUAAGUCCGCCGGAGAGACGAAAGCACCAGGCCCGGCUUUCGCCAUAAUCUCAAGGAGGUCGAGCUCGAUGGUUGCCUUGAGCACCAUGGGGAGAACGGAGGCGCUGGCUAGCUGCAUGGCGAAGAGGCUGGCUUCUUCGUCGGAGACUUGGGUUGGAGUCAUCUGAGUCUCUCUGGUUGAAUCCAUUUUAUUGAUUUUGGUAUUGGGUUGGUCGGUUGAGAGAGACAGAGAGUAGCGAGGGGGGAGGAGAAGGCUGUGCUAAGUGGCAAUAUAUAUUGAUUUCUUUGCUCACUCACCACCAUUGAUGUGGUAGUACCAAGGCGUUCACCACCCAUGCAGGCCCCGACAUGUAAGGCCGGCCUUGAGGGUAGCCGAAGUAGGUGCCUGCCUAAGGCUUUCACUUUGCAGGGGCCCCAGAUUUUAAAAAAUAUAUAUAAAAAUAAAUUUUACAAUUAAAAUUCAAUAAAAAUAUCAAAAAAUAAUAUCAUAGGCUAUUGAAAAAGAAUUGGUUGAAAAUCAGAUUAUGUAAACUUAAUUAGUAUGACAUAUUUUGAGGAAAAUUCCUUAUGAGGAUUUGUAGGGGACCUCUCUAGCUUUCAAAAGAGACUCAAAAGAGACAUUUUGGGACCAAAUCGAAGUUGAUUUGGUCGGUCAAAAGUCUGAUUUUCUGAUAAGUCUGAAUUUAAGUUUAAAUAGAAACUUUUUAUUUCAAUUUUAUUCUAAGACUUUUUAGGGUUUUAUUUUGUAGUAGUAUAAAUAAGACUUUUUAGCCAUUAGAGUUAGAAGGGAAGGAGAGGAGGAAACGCAUGCAUACUUUAGAGAGUUUUUUAAGUAUAUUUUCUAGGUGUUUUCUAUCCUUAUUCUUAAUAAUAUUUUGUUUUAUGAUUGUUCGCAGGUAGUUUCUUUUGCUAAGACGAAGCCACAAGCUUUAGCAUGAAUAUAUGUGAUUUUAUUAAUUAGCUUAUGAAUGAAUGCAUGUUUGCUUUGAAUUAUUAAUAUACCAUGAUUAAACUAUCUAAUUGUCUUAGUGAUUCGCGACCAUUAGGGUUUUUAGACAAAUAAUUUGAUGCAAUUUUUGUUGAAAUAUCACCUUGAAAUUGAGGAGGGCUUCUUGUGAUUACUAAUUGUAAGUUCACUUAAGGCGAACAUCACGUUCUUAAGGGUUGCAUGGUUUUUCAAAGGGUUUUCACAAAGCUUAAUGAGUCUUGCAUGUUUAUAUUUGAUAUACAUCAUAGACGGAUUGCAAGUUAGAUAUACGUUUUCGCUUGAACAUCACGAGGAAAAUAUGCAUUAGGAAAACCUAACAUUCAAAGCAUGUAUGUAGAAAUUCAUAAGUAAUUGGUAAAAUUGCAUAGGAUUGUUAAGGGGACGGCGGAAUCCUAGACUUUUACAAUUUGAUUUUCAAAACGUUUUUCUUUUGCUUUCUUUACUUUGUCAAAUAUUUAAUUAUUUUUAUUUAAAUUCGUUUUUAUUAUUUUAAAUUCCAAAAUCAACCUUUUCAAAACUUUGUUCUAAAUAAUUAGCUAAGAAUUAGUUUAAAUACAAAUUAUUCAUUCAAUUCAUGUGGAAAACGAUAUUGCUUGAGCCGCUAUACUACGACAAUCUUGUACUCUUGCAAUUAUUUUUAAGUGUUUUUAUCCCUACUUGUGUAGGUGGUAAAAAUCCUAUCAAAAAUCAUAAAUUUUCUCUCAGAAAUUCAAGAAACGAAAAUUCUUUGUCUGUUUUUAUAUGUUGUGGAGACCCAAUCUGACUUGUGUGUUCUUCCAGGUCGAUCUCGGCCGAGGGUUUUAGACCUCUUUAUUUUUCCAUAUUUUCGGAUUAUUCCCUCAUAAUUAGGGAAUUAAAUUGUUCCUAUUAUUCGGUAAAAUCUAAAACGAUUUGCAGCUUUGAUUUGGCCUUUGCAUGUUUGUGGUAUUUGAAAUUAUGGUUUUUUUUGGGGAUUGGAUUUUGGGAUUUAAGUUGAAUUCGUAUGGGUAUUUUUUCAGAAAUUUUUGUUGUUUCCGUGUUGGAAUUAAAAGAACUAUUCAUGUUGGAUUUUUACAUAAGUGUGUCUCAGCUGUUGUUUUCGUUUUGUUGUGUGAUUUUUAUGUGGUGUUUAUAUGUGCAGGCGCUUGUGUUAGUAUUUUGUGUUUUUAUUUUUGUCCCAGCUGCUGAACUUCAUUUUCAAUUUCGUUUAAUUUAUGGAUUAUCAGAUGUUGUGGUUUGGCAUGCAUUGUAAUAUGAUUUGAACGAGUCUAAUUAAUUUUAAUUUUUCAUGAUUCCGGUAGCAAAUUGCAUCGCUGCGGUUUUCUGGGUCUCUUGGACCGUAGUCAGAGAGGAAAAGAACUAGAAAUAGCAAAAGAAAUCAAGGGAUACAAGAAGAUCAUACUUCUGACAUUGCAAAUGGAAUAGAAAUGUUUAACGAAAAUGUUUCUGGUCAUUCGUUUCUUCUCAGCUAUCAAUUUGUUGCUUGGAGUUUACGUUUUUUUUGCACACAAUGCCAAAAAGAAUUAGGAAUAACAAAAACAAUUAGAUCAUAUAAGAUUAUAUUUGUGUCGUUCGCCGCAGCGGAACGCGGGUGUUUUUGCUAGUGUUAUACUCAAAGUCAAUGGGUUAUUUUUUUAUGAUUUUACUGGCUUUUAAUUUUGUUUCUUAUUGUGUUCUAGAAGCUGAACAAAUAUAAUGACAACAUGAAUAACGGGAAAGCCUAUAACAUAAUACCAGUUUGAAUGAACAUCAUGGAUAAUAAUUUGAUAGGUACGUCAUGAAAAUAAUAUGAAUGUCGUUUUAUUAUUCCCUUCUUGCCAUUUUUUCCGUUUUAGGAGAGUUCUUGUGUAUGAGCGGUUGUAUGUCGAAAUCAAUUGACGGGUAAGUUCGGUUGAUAAGAAGAUCCAUGAGGUUUUGAUUUUGUGUUUGUGGCAAUAUAGACAUGUAAUUUGUCCGUCGUAGUUGUCACUUGUAUUAUAGGAAUAUAAUAUUUAAUUGUAAUUAGUGUAAGAUUCCUAUUUCAAUAGGGUGUAACCUUGUAUAUAUUUUGUAAUAUUUUUCACAUAACAGUACAAAGAGUCAUGAUUCUACAUGUUAUCAAAGCAACAAAAUCACUUUCUUAUUAUUAUUUUUCUAACUUAUGAAAACCUACUUAUGUGUAAUGUCCACGUACGGAUACACGAUCACCAUAUAAAAAACCAAAGCAAUAUAAAUGCAGAUGGCAGCAUACCAAGGGCAAAUUAUACUCAAUUCUUCUUAAGAAAUUCAAUGGCAUAGGUGUUGAAGGCAGAGCACACGACUCGAAAGCCUUGGAAUCCAGAUCCCUUAGCCAAGGCCUCGAACUCCUUCUCCGUCCUCUCUUUUCCGCCGGGGUUGUGAGCUAACAUGAUCUCGUCGAUAUGGACAACUCCCUGGUGGCAAGGCUGCUGUCCGGAGCUACUGGAAGAAUGCACUCAGCAACAAUUACCUUCCCAUUGUCAGGGAGCGCAGCAUAGCAGUUCUUCAAAAAUUUCAAGCAAUGCUCGUCACUCCAGUCGUGGCAUAUCCACUGUAAGAUUGCAUACAGGAUUUGAUAUUAGUUCCAAUUAUAUUGAGCAACUAAGCUCCUAUGAGAAAUUAAUAUUAGCACUACAAAAUAAUCAUCGGCUCUUUUUUGAUAAAUAAUAACUCACCUUCAUGAAAAUUGCAUCUCCCUUUGGAACACUUACAAACAUGUCUCCUCCAACAUGCUCCACACCUAUAUUCAACAUCCACUGACCUCAUAUUCGUUAGGAAAAAUGAUAAAUAGUACAAAUAUUAUUUUUAUAUACAAUAACAUUAGGGGAAGAGAAAUUGAACUUGAGAGAUCGAAUGUAAAGGUGAACGCUUUUAAGUAAUUGAACUACAAACAUUAUCAGAAAUGAAGAACAUACCAGGAUAUUGAGGAGCAUCUUCGAUGACAUGAGGCAAGUCGAAAUUAAUGCCCUUAAUCGAAGGGUAUUUAGAGACGAUCAUGUUAAGGAUAGCGCCAGUGCCACCACCAACAUCAACGAUGCAUGUGAGGCCCUCAAAGCCAUUGUAGUUUCUUCAAGAAGUUUCUUCAUGAGAGAGAGAUCGAAUGUAGUUCUCAAGUAGUUCUCAAGAAGUUUCACAUGAGUGAGGUCGAUAAGAUAAACAGCUUGACUUUUAUAUACAUUCAACUAAGCUAACAUGUAGAAUUAGUAUGUAAAGACAUUGCACAAUUAGUAGAAAGAAACUGAAUGUUCUUGAUCACAAAGACAUGGUCGGCAAAAAAGUUAUGUUUCCAUAAGAAACAGAAGCAACAUGUAGUUCACACAAAUUUUUUCCAUUAUAGUUAGCUUUUGAAAAAACUGCUACACCGUUUUACAAAUUCAAUCGUUAAACAUGAUAUUGUAUUCCAAGACAAAGAUAAAGUAUAUGGUUUGUUUACAAAUCAAAGCUAGAAACCCCAAAGCUUUUUGCAUAUUCAUCAUCUCUCUGAUCAUGAAAAAUUAAAAUUAAUAAUAAUCACUCAAAUCAUAUUACAAUAUAUAACAAACUAUGUCAUCUGAUAAUCGAUAAAUUUUAAGAAAAUUUAAAAUGAAAACCAUAAUCUGAAAUGUCUGAAUUUUCUCAAACACUUUCUGAGAAGCCAAACCAAAACAAAAAACAAAAACAAAAACAAAAGGAGAUGAAUGAGAAAUGAGAAACGAGUAAUUACCAUGUCUGGAUUUGGAUGAGGCGGGAAGAGAAGGCCAUGAUCGGUUCACAGUCUUCCUCUUCUUCUUGUAAUUUAUGUUCCUCUUUCAAAUUUCAAAAACAAAAAAUCCACCCAUACUUAAUUCCCAUAAAAAAAAAAUUAAAAAAAAAUAAAAAAACUAGUAUAAAAAUUUCAUGGCACCUAUAAAAAUUCACCGUCACUAGUAUAAAAACCACCCAUACUCCAUUCCAUUUCUUCCCAAAACCCAGGGAUUCGGUGCCAGAACUGCAUCUUCUCAGUUGUUGCAUAUCUUCUUGCUAAUGUGUCAUUGACUUCGCACGCCUAGAAACCAAGCCAUCACAAUGCAAACGCGAGUAUCUCUGAUUAGCAUCGAAGGGGGUUGGCUUGGAAACUAAGAGCUGAGUAUCAUUCAAGGGAUUAUUCUGUAGCGUUGUGCCUACUCCGGAUGAUGCCAAAGUGGCCCCUUGAAGAGGUAAUGAAGGUAGUCAUCUAUCUAGCCUUUGGAAAGGUGCACUAUAUUGCAUGAACAUGAGGAAAUGCGAACAAAUAAGAAUUAUAAAAACUAAAGUGAAUCAAACCCAUGGAUCUUAUUGGGAUUACCUUCAUAAAAGCUAAGCAUUUUGGAAAAAACAUUUUCAAUUAAAAAUAACUUUGAAAAUGUCUUUCUAUUCAAGUAUGUUGGCCCAAAAUUGAAAGUGAUAGAUGCUUUCGAACAGUUUAGUUUGUAACCAUCAUUAACAUUACAAUUUUUUAGAAGUAAUGUAGACGAAUAUAUUUAGUUGCAUCAGGCUCCUUAGUUUCCAAUUGACAUGCCAAUUUAUGAUCCAUUGCUCUUUCUUUUUUAGACAAUAAAUCGAAAACAUUGAUAUAACCAAAUGCAUUCGAUAAUAGAAAACUACGUAAAUUUCCUAAGAGAGUUCUUGAACGGAAGAACUGACAAAGUAUUGAGUUGAUGAUGGCUUUUAUACCUACCCCAAUGAAUAGCUGCUGGAAGAAGUAUCUCAGGAAUAAGCAAUGCCUAUAAUGGAUUGCUCGAAAGCGCAUAUUCUUUGAAUUCCUCACCGCAAGGACAACAGCAAAGAGCACCGAUCUCUGCAUUUCCACCAAUAUAUACAAAAGAGUCAACAUUUGAGUUUAUAUUUUACUUAAAAUAUGAUUUUAGCCCUUCCAACUCAAUUUUCUUCAUAUAAAACCCUACAUAACUUUUUUACUCAAAGAAAACCCAAUGACUAGGAUCCACAUAAGCAAAUUCAUUAAUUUCAAUAUUACUUCACACAUUUUACAUUUUUCACAUGCCUAAAAUACCCCUAUUACAUAUUUGAUGUAGACAAUUAAUUGUAAGGAGAGAGUAAAUGAUUUUGCAACAAGAAAAACAAGACAUUAAUGUUAAAAAUUUAUUGCAUAUUAAUUUUUUUAGAAAGGCUUUGAAUUUUCAUAAACUAUUUGAUUAGUUUUUUUCACGCUACUCUUGAACACUUUUGAAUUUAUCCUUUUUUUAUUAAUAUAUUAGAACAUUGUAUUUCAUUAUCUACAUGCACAUUAAUUUACCUACAACAAUUAUACCAUGAGUGUAAUAUAAUAUCUCUUUUUUACAAUGAUGCAAAAUAAUGUUUAUACCAACAACAAAACGUGCCUAACAUAUGUACUAAUACAUGGAAAAUAAUUUACCUAUAUUAAGAAGAAAUGUAGUUCGAUGCGUAGUAUUAAAAAUACUAUGUUACACCCAUGUUUAUACAACAAUAAAACGUGCCUAACAUAUCUAACAAUACAUGGAAAAUAAUUUAUCUACAAGUUAGAUAAAUGUUAUUUGGUCGGGUGUAUAUAAAUUGUUUUAAUAAUUGGAAAAAUUAAAUAUAACUAGGUGUAGUGAAAUUUUUUUCUAUAAUUAGAACAAAUUAAUUUACCUACCUACUAUUUGAAAUGUUCAUUUCUAAUGAUGCAAAAUGUUCAUUACCUAACUACAAAAUAAUUUCCAAUAAUUUACCCACAACAAUUAUACCAUGGGUGUAAUGUAAUAUCUUUCUUUACAAUGAUACAAAAUAUUGUAUGUAUACCAACAACAAAAUGUGCCUAACAUAAGUACUUGUACAUGGAAAAUAAUUUACCUAUAACAAAAGAAAUGCAGUUUGAUGUAUAAAAUCAACAAUAAAUUUACCUACAAGUUAGAGGAAUGUUAUUUGAUUCAAAAUAUAUAAUAUAGGUGUAGUAUUUUUUUUUAAAUAAUUGGAACACACUAAUUUACCUACCAAUUAAUAUGGGUAAAAUUGCUACAAAAUAUAUCACGAAAAAAAAAACUACUUUUCUAGUUUGACAUGGAUACGGUUAAUGCAAACACUUUUUACAUUUUAUUUCACUUUUUCUACUACUUUUAUUUUGGCAUAAAUUUAGGAAUUUGGAAAACGGACCAUAAAGUAUGAGUGGCAUGAGUGUAAAUAAAUUGUAUUUAUAGGUCAAUAGUGUUCCCAUAUAUUUGCAAAUUUUAAAUUUUGGCUUAAACUGGAUCUUUAAAGAUAGAUGAGUUUUUAUCUAGAAAUAAUAAGUUGUAAGGGCCAAAAUCUAAAGCACCCUAUUUUUUUUUCAUAUUCUGUUUCUUCAUUUUCUUCUAUAUCACUUUCUAUACUCAUAUAUAUACUCAUAGUUUAGUUUAUAUUGGACAGGACCGAUCAUCAUAUGCUCAUAUAUAUGCGUUUGUUUAAUCAAUAAUGCUAUUUAAAGGUACAAAACUAAUCGCAUUUCUGAGACACUCGAAAAUAGCGGUGGACUCUACAAAUACACGCAAAACAUACAUGUGCUAAAGAAUCUAUAACAAUGCGAUUAAUUUUGGGAGUCUAUAUAGUAUUACUUGUUAUUUAUUUAUUGCCUAUCUGAUUAUGGCUUCUCAUGGCAGGUAGGAAUGCUUCUGUAAUUUGGUUGAUUUAAUUUCUUGAUCAUAAUACCAAUUUGAAUGAACAUCAUGGAUAAUAAUUUGACAGCUACGUCAUGAAAAUAAUAUGAAUGUCAUUUUAUCAUUUCCUUUUUGCCAUUUCUCUGAUUUAGGAGAGUUCUUGUGUUGUGUAUAAGCGAUAUGUCGAAAUCUAUUGACGGGUAAGUUCGAGUGAUAAGAAAAUCCAUGAGGUCCGAUUUUGUGUUUGUGGCAAUACAGACAUGUAAUUUGUCCGUUGUACACUAGAUUCUUUCAUUUUUUAGACCCUAUUGCAUGGGUAUGAUUCCAAAUUUAUAACAUACAAGCAUGUUAGAAUAGAAUUAAUUAAUCCAGAAUUUUAUUCAUAGUUGUCACAUGUAUUAUAGGAAUGUAAUAUUUAAUUGUAAUUAGUGUAGGAUCCUAUUUCAAUAGGGACUAAUGUAACCUUGUAUAUUUAUUGUAAUAUUUUUCACACAACAAUACAAAGAGUCAUAAUUCUACAUGUUAUCAAAGCAACAAAAUCACUUUCUUAUUAUUUUUUUGUAACAUAUGAAAACCUACUUAUCGUGUAACAUCCACGUAUGGAUACACGAUCACCAUAUAAAAAACCAAAGCAAUAUAAAUGCAGAUGGCAACAUACCAAAGGUAAAUUAUACUCAAUUCUUCUUAAGAAAUUCAAUGGCAUAGGUGUUGAAAGCAGAGCACACGACUCGAAAGCCUUGGAAUCCAGAUCCCUUAGCCAAGGCCUCGAACUCCUUCUCCGUCCUCUCUUUUCCGCCGGGGUUGUGAGCUAACAUGAUCGCGUCGAUAUGGACAACUCCCUUGGUGGCAAGGCUACUGUCCGGAGCUACCGGAAGAAUGCACUCAGCAACAAUUACCUUCCCAUUGUCUGGGAGCGCAGCAUAGCAGUUCUUCAAAAAUUUCAAGCAAUGCUCGUCACUCCAGUCGUGGCAUAUCCACUGUAAGAUUGCAUAAAGGAUUUGAUAUUAGUUCCAAAUAUAUUGAGCAACUAAGCUCCUAUGAGAAAUUAAUAUUAGCACUACAAAUAAUCAUCGGUUCUUUUUUGAUAAAUAAUAACUCACCUUCAUGAAAAUUGCAUCUCCCUUUGGAACACUUACAAACAUGUCUCCUCCAACAUGCUCCACACCUAUAUUCAACAUCCAUUGACCUCAUAUUCAUUAGGAAAAAUGAUAAAUAGUACAAAUAUUAUUCUUAUAUGCAAUAAUAUUAGGGGAAGAGAAAUUGAACUUGAGAGAUCGAAUGUAAAGGUGAGUGCUUUUAAGUAAUUGAACUACGAACAUUAUUAGAAAUGAAGAACAUACCAGGAUAUUGGGGAGCAUCUUCGAUGACAUGAGGCAAGUCGAAGUUAAUGCCCUUAAUCGAAGGGUAUUUAGAGACGAUCAUGUGAAGGACAGCGCCGGUGCCACCACCAACAUCAACGAUGGAUGUGAGGCCCUCAAAGCCAUUGUAGUUCUCAAGAAGUUUCUUCAUGGUAAUGGUAGAGUGGUCAGCCAUUCCCUUGUUGAAGACCUUGUUGAAUCUGGGGUCAGUGCCAUGGUACUCAAAAGCAGUCAUUCCGUAGGCCUUGUUGAAUGGGAUACCUCCUUCAAGGACUGCAUCUUUCAAGUUGUACCUGCACAAACCCGAAACAAGCAUGCAUGACUCAUUUGUGUUUAAAGCUUAAUCUACAAGGAAAGGGCCGGACCCUUGAAAUUUGAUUCAACAACUACAAAUAAGAAGGCCCCUUUAAAAAUUAUAAUAACUUUAAUCGUUGAAUCAAAUAUCAAUAGUCUGAAUAAGUGGACUUGAUAGACUUGAUGGAAGGGAUCCGGAGAGAAUCAUUUUCCAAUCUACAAUACCAAAGUACAAGCAAUCUUGUAAACUAGGCCAACCGACAUUCCACGUGUUUCAAGGCCCGCAUAACUCACAAUAAUCAGAUAAUUUAUGGGUUUGUUAAAACAACUCUCCCUUCUUUUAUUGAAUUCGGAUCCUCUUUGUAGGAAUAUUAAGAAUCUUAAAGAUUCGUAAAUCGUAUCAAUUCAUUGUACAUCGUACGAUCAUAAAACUAUUUGCAUUUUUUUAUUUAAAAUUAAACACAAACAACACUUGAUGAAAUCUGACCGUACGAUCACAGAUCUUCAGGAUUCUCACAAAGAAGAUUCAGAGAGAAUUUGUUGGUCUUUUAUUGACAUGGAUUGCGUCAAUCAGUUAGUAAAAUAGUAUCCUUUUAUAUUUGAGUACAAAUUAUCAUUUUUAUAGUUUUGAUAAAAAUGAGGGAGGAAGUUAAUUUAAAUUUCACCUCUAGCUAAUUGACGGAACUUACACUCCAUAUAGAAGAAUAAAAUAGUUAAAACAUACAGUUGUCCUAAGGAAAAAGAUUGAUAAGAAAUAAACGUGUAACAUCGAAACACUUUGGUGUGGUUGUUGAAGUGGUUUUACCAACUUUCCACUCCUAAUUUGAUUUAAGUGGAAAUCAUAAAACAGGUGACCAGUCAUCAUAUAGCGUAAUGCUAGAAAAAUAAAAUUUAAAAAUAAAAUUUACAAAUUAAUUGAUAUGAAAAUUAAUUGUUGAAUUAUUACUUAAAAGAUGAGACAUUAAUAAACAUGAUUUUUUUUUAUUAAUGACAUAUAAUUUAGUUUAAAAUUUUUAUUUAAAAUUUGGUUUCUUUAAAAGUCUGACAAGAAGUCAAUUUGGAGUCUUGUCCGUCCCCAACCGCCUAAUGGGCCAAAAGUAAUAUGAACAACGAAGAAAACAUUAGGAAAAAUAAAUUUUAACGAAAAAGUUUUGAUAUUUUUUAUUUUAAUAAAAAAAUUAUAAUUUUACAUUAAAAAAUCAUUUAUAAUACUAUUCAUUUUAUUUUUUAUUUUAUCUUAAAAUUUUCAAACCAAUUUUUAUUAGUUUUUCUUAGGAAAAAAUAGAGAACAAUCACAUAUUAAAGCCAUAACUCACAGUUCGUACGUAACAUUUUAUGAAUAUUGUAUUAUUAUCAACCUAUUUGAACCCCAUUAAUUAAUGUUUGUUAACGAUCAAAUUAAGAUGAUAAAUAAAGAAGAAGAAUGGUAAUUACCAGCUCUCCAUAAGGACCUUGUCCUGAUUCAUGAGGCAGAGAGAACCAAUGGAAGCACCAUCCUCGCUCUUUGUCAAGAACUUGCAGACGGGGCCGAGGCCGUACAGCCGCUCGACUUUGCCGUCGGGAAGUGUGCGGAGGGAGUAAGUGAGGAUAGAGUAGCUGGCCAGGACGCGCAGCAUGCGGUCCAGCAUGACGGAGGCGUCAGGGUUCUUGGUCGGCAGCUGCGAAGAUAAGUCAGCCGGAGAAACAAAAGCGCCAGGCCCGGCUUUUGCCAUGAUCUCGAGGAGGUCGAGCUCGAUGGCUGCCUUGAGCACCAUGGGGAGGACGGAGGCGCUGGCUAGCUGCAUGGCGAAGAGGUUGGCUUCUUCAUCGGAGACUUGGGUUGGAGUCAUCUGAGUCUCUGGGGUCGAACCCAUUUUUUGGAUUUGGUGUUGUUGAUGGUGUUGGUGUUGGUGGGGAGAGAGAGAGAGAGAGAGAGAGAGAGAGAGAGAGAGAGAGGAGGAGGAGGAGGAGGAUGAGGAGGACUGAGGGUGGAAGAGAUGGUGUGUGCUAAGUGGUAAUAUAUAUGUAUUUCCUUGCUCACCCACCGCCAUUGCUGUAAAAGCAAGGUGUCCACCACCCAUGCAGGACCCCACAUGCGUCCCACACGUCUUUACCUUUUAGAAAGCUAAUUAAAAUAAUUUCAAUUCUUUAUCUGCUUUUGUUUUAUUUCUUUUUUAGGAGGGUGUGUAGUCGGAAUUCACACUCAAUAUGAAGGAUUUGUACAAGCUUUGUUAGAUUAGUUGUUUAAUUAAGAGUAUAUAUUUAAUUUGUGUUUGAUUUUUCUCCCCUUAAUUUUGUUGUUUAAAAAGAAAUAUGAAUAAUUUACAAAUCCAAACUUUCCUAUUAAAAAGUGCAAUUUUUCUUCGAAUGUUAUACUCAAGGUCAAUGGGUUUUGAUUAAAGGGAAAGCCUGUCACAUCAUUCCACUAUAUAGUAUACAUCACCAGUUCGAGCAUAAGCAUGCCAAAAUAAAGAUGACAAAAAAGGUAAACCCUUCAAUCCAACGGGGAAAAAACUAAGCAAGUUUUUCUACAGAAAUACAGCAUGACAUGACAAGGGAUAAUUGGAGAAAAGAAUAGUGAAUUGUCCCUCCGAAGUCCUUCUAGCUGGUGAUAGAGCAUAAAUUUACAAUAAGGUCGUUAUUAUUUAUUUAUUUAUUUUUAAUAGUGUGUGAAAUGAUUUUAAUCUUCAAUUUUCUCUUUAGUUGAUUCGGCAAAUUUUAUAAGAUGAUAAUAAGGACAAUAAUGUUUUAUAGCAUUGAAUGUUGAGCGAUCAAGCAUUAAUAUAUUUCAUAUGAGUCUCCUCAUAGUAUUCUUGAUCAAGCAUCAUAUUUUCUUCAAGCUCGAAAGGUAACAUAUACUGAUUGAGAGACUUUUAGCCUAAAUGAUCCAUAAGAUUGGUAUAACUCCUCACUCUAGUUCCUGACAUUGAAAAUUGAUAUAAUUGGUCUUUGAGUUUGUCCCCUGUAAAUCAUUUUUUGUCAUUCUGUGAAAAAAUAUGUCAAUAUCAUCGUUAAAUGGAGGGGUUAGUUUGACAAAUAUCAUCAUUAAAAAGAUUGUUGUGUGGUCGUCCACAUGACAAUUUAACGAGGAUAGUGGCAAAUUUUUCACGGAAUAAAAUAAUUUACAAUGAACAAACUCAAAAACCAUUUCUAUUGAUUUUCAUUAUUAAGGAUCAAAUUGAGGAUUAUGCUAAUUGCCUAAAAGCCAUGAUUUAGAUGGUAUCAUUGUCAUGGUUUGUGUCAUCGUGACUCAUCCAUGAUGUAUGAAAGGGAUAGGUAUUUCUAUUGGAAAUUUACAAAUAAGAACAAAAAUAAAAAACAAGAGUGUGACAAUUUAAUAAGGAGUUGGCCCGGUAUCUUAUAAUAUGCUAUUACCUAAGCUGCGGUGCAAGAUCAAAUCAGUUGGUGAGUGGAACCUAUCAAUAUUCAUUUCCAAACGUUAUAAUACUUGACCUAAUUUAUAUAAAUAUGGUGGUGUUACUUAGAAGACAACAAUUAUGCCUUCUCCAUACUGAUUCAGGUAUUGUAUUAGGGGUGUGCUAUCCACACACCCCAAAUUACUUCCCACACACCUCUUGUUAAUUUCUGUCCGUUGAUCUUCUUCAAUUCAUCUGAUCCGACUGCUGAAAAUUAAAAGGGUGUGUGAGAAGUAAAAUGGGGUGUGUGGAUAUCACACCCCUUGUAUUAUUGAUUUCUCCAACUCCACUUAAGCUGAAAGGUGUAAAACGUUUAGUUCUCAUGCUUCAUUGGGACAUCAUUCGCACAUGAAUUGUGUGAGUAAGUUGAUUAUCGUCAUUCUUGUUUUGUGAGUUUUACAUGCAUGAACAGUCUGAAUUAGUUUAAAUCUAUAUUAUACGACGUUAAAUUAAAUAAUCUAUGAAAAUUCAGAAAAAGAAAACAGUUUAAACAUAGACAUCGAAUCUUACUUCAUAUUAAUGUUAAUAGUUGCUCAAAUUAAUUAAUUAACAAACUCCUGUGUUGAAAAUUGAAACAAAUGAAAACUCCAUUUGGUAUUAAUUAGGUUUACAAAUGGUAUUAUAUAAUUGGUCGCGGUUGGACAAAUCAAAGGGGAUCACAUCUCACCUAAUCUUUGAACAUGUAGAUGUCGGAUCAGACGCAGCUAUUGGUGAAAAAAUCAAAGUGCUACUUCCACAUCUUAAUUGGACCCCAUCUUUUUCUGGAACAAACUUAACAUUUCCAGAGACCCAGACCCUGAGAUGUAAAAAGAAAAAGUUCGACAAAAUUCAGAACCAGAAGAGGUCCAAACUCCUAAGGUGUCACCUCUUUAACAAAACAUCCUCACCAACCCUGCCAACAAAAUCCUCAUUUCAGGAUUUGUAAAUCAUGUAUAUUUAUCGUAUAUCGUACAAUCAAUUUUUGUUAAAUACUGUUUGUGUUCAAUUUUAAAUAAAAAAACUUAAAACAAUUAAUGAUCUCACGAUAUACGAUAAACGAAUAUAAUUUAUAGAUCUCCAAAAUUCUCACAAAAAGAAUCUGAAAAGAAUCCAAAUUCCCAACCCUGCAAAAGCAUUAAGAAUUAUAUAAAAAAAGAUUAUUAGCUUAACGUGUUUGAUUAUAAUAUUUGGUCAACAAUCAAAUGGAAUAAAGGAGGAUACGUUAAGAUAUAAGGGUAUUAUAUAUAUUAAUUGUAAUGUUCCACCAAAUACAUUAUAAUUGGUAUAAGAUAUAUAAGUAGGAGUCAACACUAGAAAUCGAAAACCGAAGCCAAAAUACGAAUUAAGCUGGACCGCAUUGAACAGUUAAGUUUUUGCAAUUUUGAUACGAUUUUGAUUUGCAACCCAACCACAUCACAAAUGAAAAAUGACUGAUUCCUAACAAUCAUACGUUUGUACGUUUCCUUUCUUUGCUGCUACUUUAUCUAAUCUCUUUUGUGGUGAAUUAUUUCAAAGGGUCAAAUCUUUGAUGCAUAUAGCUCUACAAUUGAUGAAAGUUAAUUGUAGGUGGAGAGCAACAAAUGAUGGGAUAAAUUUGUUUAACUUUAAGCACAAAAUAUAUCUACAAAAGUAUAAAUCGGAAUCAUGGUGAUCCGACGUAUGGUUGCGAGCUUCAAGCUCCCAAAAGUUGAUAUAAUAAAACAUUUUCUCAUGACUUGAUUGAUUUGUUGUUAUCUCUUGCAUGGUUACUUUUAGCUUUUUAUUUUGUUAUUUGUUUAUACGUUUUUUGUAUUAUUAUGCUCUCAUGUUUCUUUAAAUCUUAAUUUAUAUAAGUGCAAGUGAAUGUAAUGUAAUUCUUCUCCCUAGUGCUUUGAAACCGAAACCAUUUGAAACCAAAUCGAGUUCAAAUGGUUUGGUUCCAUUUCUUACAAACUUCAAAACCAAACUGAAUCGCAAAAAAAAUUGAUUUUAGUUUCACCCAAAACCGCACCGAACCAAACUGUGCACACCCAUAUAUAUAAAUUUUGUUCUCUUGAAAUGAACAAUGGAGAUUGUGUCAAAGGGUUUAAAAUUUAAGUAGUUAAUAGCAUUUGUUCUUGCAUACGAUAUUAUGCGCUGGAAUCCUUCGUCCACUAUUAUUGUUUGUAAAUUGGUGGCCAAAGUGUUGGAAUUUAUGGUUAGCUACAUGCACAGAUUACAACCUAAUACCAAGGAUGAAAGAGCACACAAAUCUGAUGAAGCCAUUAAUGAAUGAUCGAGGAAGAGUCUUCUACUAAAUGGGGACCUUAUGUUCUCACUAGAAUAGGGCUAGUUACUAAAAGAACGUGUUCCUCUUGAGCAGGGACUAAACCAUUUUUUAGACGUAUAACCACAACCGUUUCCACCUAUCACAUAAACUGCUUGGCAAAACUGCCCGCCCAUUUACACUCGGGAAAUUUGGAAAAGUAACCAUAUUUUAAACCUCAUAUAGAAUUAUAGCCACCAUUUUAAUUUUAUGAUAAUUCUAACCAAAACUUAAUGUAAAAGUACUAAUAUACCCUUAAUGAAAAUUUGGAAAAGUAACCAUAUUUUAGACCACAUAUAGAAUUAUAGCCAUCAUUUAGUUUUAUGAUAAUUCUAACCAAAACUUGAUGUUGAGAUCUUGAAACAUAAAAGAGAUAGCCUCCUCAAUACUACCCAAUACCCCUAUUCUCGAACCCUCCAUUUCCUACACUCUUUUAUAUAUAUAUGGAUAUUCAAAUGUAAUCAGAGAAAGUGAGAUUUGAAGAUAACCUAGUAAACAUAAAAAUUAAUUAGGAAUUGAAUCUCCGAAGCAAAAUUUGAAUCUAAAAAUAGAGGAGCAAAAAGCCUUUUAAGCUAAAAUCUGUGUGAGGUUUUUCUGCUAAACUGGUGAUUGAAAAUAUAAAAGCCGAUAAUGUGAUAAAUCCCGAAUAAUAUAAAAGCCAAUAAUGUGAUAAAUCCCGAAUAAUAUAAAGCCCAAUAAUGUAAUAAAUCCCAAAGAAAAACAUUCACAUCAUGUGUUGGAAUGGAGUCUAAUUGGAUUCUUGCAAGUUUGGCGAUUGUGGCCUGUCCCACCACAGCGACUGCACUUCUUCACUAUCCUUUCCUCUCCCUGAGAUGGGAUUCUGUUUGUCUUGCGUCUUCCAGAUACAACUUGUCUGAUUGGAGGUAACACAACUCUAUUAUGCACCUCUUCUGGCACACUCCAUUCACUCUUGUUUCCAACCGGCCAAAUGGGCUCCGCAUACGCUAGCACAAUUGCAUUGGCUGUGUAGAAUUUGGAGCACAUAGUGUACACUAAUGUGUUGCGAAUUCGACAUGCAGCAGUUGCAUGGACACAUGGAAGCUGGUCGAGAUCAAACCUUCUACACGUGCAUGACUUGGCAUUUAGAUCAACUAUAUGAUAUAAGUCUGCCUCAUGUACUUGCAAUGCAUAAUGAUUAAUGGAAGAUACCUGCAUAGUUGACAAGUAACAACCAACAACAAGAGACCAAUUAAUCAUAAUUAUCAUAUUCUUUUAUCAACCUGUUUAUUUGUUUGAAACAUUUUAACUAUGUUUUUUGUUAACAAAAUAUGCACUAACCACAUAGAUUUGGCCGUCAUCCAACUCACUUGACCAUGAAAUAUUACAUGCUUCAAGGCCACAACUGAUUAAAUAAAAAGUUAAGAAGAGUGAAAAUAGCUUUUUGUUGGUUCCUUUUUUUUUUUUCCCUUCAUAUGUUCUUGGUAUGGAUUCUAUGUAAAUUUAGGUGUCCAGUGUGCAUUAGGAAUGUGAGAGUGCAUAAAAAUGUAAACAAAUCAUACAUACCGACAUACGCAAGCCUCUAUUUUGAUUCUUGUGCACUUUUUCCUCUGCCCACUUUGUCAAGGUCGAAUUCCAUGAACUUGCUGUGUUCCGACGUUCGUUGAACCACUCUUGUAGUAUACCUCUAAGGUGAUCCGCUAGAGCAAUGAUAGGCAACUUUCGAGCAUCCUUCAGUUUUGCAUUCAUGGAUUCGGCAAUGUUGGUUGUCAUCAUGUUGUAUCGUUUUCCACUGAAAUGUGCCCGAGCCCAUCUAUGAUACCCAAUUUCUUGAAGAUAUUUUCCUACUUUUCCAUCUUUGAUUGCCCAAAUAUCAGUCAUAACACUAUUAAACUCUGACACAAGGUAUGCUUUUGCCGCAGUGUAAUAUAACUUAAACAUCGUUUCAUCAUCACCAAAUUUAGUCCUCAUGUUGCCAGCUACAUGAUACAUACAAGCUCCAUGAUAUGCCUCUGGAAACACAGUUUGUACAGCUUUACCAAUACUUCCAUGUCGAUCAGAUACAAACACCAAGUCUGCUACCUCUCCAAUGGCACUUCUCAAUUUUGUAAGAAACCAUGUCCAUGAAGCGUCAUUUUCUGAGUCACCCACACCAAAUGCUAAAGGAUAUAUUUGAUUUUGUCCAUCAUGGCAUACAGCAACAAAUAAGGUGCCAAGAUAUUUACCCUUUAGAAAAGUCCCAUCAACUGCUACCACAGGCCUCAUAGAACCACGAAAUCCCCUUAUAGAGGCUCCCAUUGCCAUGAAAAAGUAUAAAAAGUGAUUAUUGUCAUCCGUUUCUAUAUGUGUUAUUGUCCCAGGGUUUUUACUUUCUAACAUGGCACAAUAGGCAGGAAGUGCGGCAAAAGAUUCCUCUGGCGACCCUCGGAUCAUGUCAAAUGCGUGCUCUCUUGCUCUCCAAGCUUUCUCGUAGCUCAUAUUAACCCCAACUUGUGCUCGCAUAUCCUCAAUGAAGUCUUUAGGUCUAUAUACACGUGAUGCCCCCUCAUACUUUGACUUUAUAAAUUGGCCAACAACAGAACUACUUGCUUGCCGAUGAUCACGCUGAACAACAUCUAAUGAACAAGAAUGAUUAGUUUCAAAUUUUCUUACUUCAAAAAAUUCUGACACUUGUAACUUGGUUGCACGAAGUCGCCACUUGCAAUUAUCAUCCACACAUCUAAUUUCCAAACGAUCCUUAGUUGAUCUUUCCACUUUAAAUUCAUAAUUCUUCCUCAUUGCAAUCAUAGCUAAUUGUUUUUGCAACUCUUUCUUACUCGAGUACAAUUGUCCGACCAUAAUAUCUCCAUCUAUAUUCAAAUCUGCAAUAUUAUCAUAGUCUUGUAUGCUCUUACGCUUGUUACGACGAGACGACGAUAGAUUGAAAUUGACAUCGUUCGACUGCACAUUAUCGAAAUGGGUACUGUCAUGAUAGUCAUCAGUAAACUCAAAACUCACAUCUAUUGAAGCCUCACUAAUCUGGGCAUUGUCUUGAAGAACUUGACUUGGUUGUUCAUCACUCAAAAUGUCAUCAUUCUCUUGAAUUCCCACUGUUGGUGAUGGGGAACUGCAUGCAAUUGGGUGUUCAUCUUCAGGUUCAUUUAGAGGAUAUGUUGUAACAUAUAACGGAAUCUUGUUCGGUUUUGCAGAAAGACUUUCACAUACCCAACUAGUCACAUCGUCGUUGUCUACAAUCUCCAUCAUAGUUUGUAUCCCUAAGUUGCUAAUGCAUUGAUAAUGUACUGAGAUUCUAAAUUCACUUGGACUAACAUGAAGACGUUUAUAUAUACCUUGUAUAAGAUCUAGAUGAGUAACUUCGGUUGACACUACCAUUGCUUUCGCUUGACCAUCUGUGUAUUGGCUAUCAACCCUCCUCCAUCCGUAAUGGACCACGGUAACAAAUUGAGUCAUUUUCUGAAGGAAAAAAAAUUAAUUAGCGCAUCUAACUAACCUGCAAAUAUAUUAAAAUUAGGAAAAAGUUAUAGAAAAAAUUAAUUAGCACAUAUAACUAACCUGGGUUUUGGGUUUAGGGUUUCAGUGGUGAAAAAUGGACACCUCCUUGCAGCAAACCCCUAAACCUUAAAAUUCAACGCCAAGCAUAAGGUCCUGAUUUUCCAAUGCUUUACCAAAGCUUUACCGAUGCUUCCAUGGACACCUCUCUUCUUGUGAUUUUCUUCCUGUUUUUCUUUCGCUGUUUCUUUUUUUUUUGUCAAAAUUCAACGCCAAGCAAACCCCAAAUUGUUCUCUCGCUGUUCUUUUUUUUUUUUGUCAAAAUCUCUUCCUGUUUUUCAUUCUUAGUUGACUGAUGUUGAUUAGGUUUUGUUUUUGUUGUGAGAAACCCUAAUAUUAAGGGUAUAUUAGUACUUUUACAUCAAGUUUUGGUUAGAAUUAUCAUAAAAUUAAAACGGUGGCUAUAAUUCUAUAUGAGGUCUAAAAUAUGGUUACUUUUCCAAAUUUCCCUUUACACUCCGACAUGGGAUAUCCUUUCACCAACAUGUUUAACCUUAUUGUCCUACUUUAAAGGAAAGAAGACUUAUUCAAAUAUUAACUCUAACGGAUUCCAGUUUCAACUAAACUCAAAACCCUAAUGAGAUAAGUUUAGAGUCCAAUAGGGUUCCAACACAAAGAUACUAACAAAACAAAAUUACAAGGAUGUCCAUGCCCUUAACAUGUUUAUCGGAAAUGGAUAUGCAAGGUUAUAGUAUUGUUCUCUUUCGUGAUUUGGAUUGUGUUUACUUACAUAAAGAAUCAGGAAUAGAAUUUUGUACCAGAACAAUUAGGUAUCGUUCAAUCACAACUGCUACUAAUUCUAAUAAGUAAUAAACGAUGAAACAAACAAACAAAUCCGCUCACUAAUCCCUAUCUUGUAAACACUUAAACAUUGUGUUAAACAAUUGAUUUUCAAUGAAAUAAUCAUACAAUUUGUAACUCUUGAAUCAUAUCGAUCUUUCGGGUUCCACUUCGGUCCUACACAGUGUUAAAUCCUAUGAGUCUCAAACAGUCUGAACAUACCAGAUCACAAUAAAAAUAAUAGACCAAACCAAUUUAGACCAUUCAAUACUCAUACAUUUAAUGCUCCGCAACAUAAAUUUUUUUUCUUCUUGUUUUCUUUCCUUUUCAAGGCCCGAUUAAUAGCAAGCAUAUGACUUCAUUCCAUAGUAUAUGGAAUCCAUACAACCAGUAUCAGGCCCAAAUAAUUUGGAAUUUGGGCCUCGACCAGUUUGAACAUAAUAAUUCACAAUUUUGGGCUGGCCCAAGCUAUCUAACUGCUACAAACAGGAGGUUCUCUAAAAGUUAUAAUUCUUGUAGCCGUUAUAUCAAAUUUAAACGGUCCAGAUCUUUUGAUCUUUAGACUCAGUUUAUUUGGGUCCGGAGGAGAUCCAGUUCUGUUUAAAGAAUCGGAUCCCCUCUGUACCCAAAUAAAUUGAGCCUCCUAAGCAAAUGAUUUAAGCAGUUGAAAUUUGAUCAAACGGCUACAAAAAGGAUGCACUUUAAGAGUUAUAAUAAGUGUAACAUUUGAAUUAAAUUUUAACGAUGCAGAUCUCUAGAAGGGAUCCGGUUCCCUCGUCUAUAACAAAGUGGCGACAUGUCAAGAGCCAAAAACGCGACUGUUCAUCCGAAAUUCGGAUUCCGAAUCAUCAGACGAAGAGAGAUUAAAAAAAAAAAAAAAACUAAUGAAAAAUGUAUAAUACCAUGAUUGAUUUUUAAUGUAAAAAUGUGAUUUUUUGUUAAAAUGAACGAUACCGUCUUUUUCUUUAAAGUUUUCGUUAAAGUUCCUAACAAAAAUUCAAAAUCCUGGGUAACCAAAAGCGAGCCAGAGAGAAAAUGGAGGGCGAAACCGGAAUCGACGUCAAAGUGAUUAAUCAGCCGUCGUCGACGCCAUCGCGCUUGAAGAAGAAGAAGAGAGUGACAGCCCAGAAAUCGCCCCAGAAGGCUCCGCCCUCUUCUUCCGCGGAGGACGACGACGGGAGUCCAAUCAGGCAAAUUCUCUGUGUCAAAAACAAGGUCGAUGUUAAACACUUCGAGGACGUCGAGGACUGCUUCAUUUUGGAUUUCGACCCCUCGGAGCCGGUGCAGUUGUCCAAGUUGUCAGUGUCGGUUAAUGGUGGUGGUGGUCACGAUGGUUCUCCCGAUAUCGCUGUUGUUGCUGAGAAAGGACAGGUUUUGAUCUUUACCCAUGACCCAUUUAUUUCUUUGUGUUAAUUUUCUUUCUUUUGUUUGGUUUCCGGGAAAAUGCAGGUAAAGAACUGAAUUUGAAAUCAUUAACUCCAUUUUGUUUCUUUGUUCUUGUGUUUGGUUGCUGGGAAUAUGCAGGUGAAGAAAUGGAUUUUAAAUUAGAACCCCAUUGUGGCAUUUUGCCUUUGAACCUUCAGAUGUUUAACCUCAAAAGAUUUGAAAUUUAUAAGAAGUUUCCAACUUUUUGGCUUAUCUGUUCAUAUUCCAAUUUUUGUGAAUUUAUGAGCUAAUUUUGUGAAUAUCUGAUGCCUUGUGUUGGUUUGAAUUGAUGCUGUGUAGGUUGCUUGUAGAGACUAUCCACAUUCAAGGCACCUCUGCCUGAAAUUUCCUUUCGGGACGACACCCCAUGAGAGCUACUGUGAUCUGGUAAUGGAGUUUUACAACUUCAAAUCUUUGCGUCUUGUGACUGUAUCCCUGAUUCCCUAGUUCUGUUGUUUAACUUGGCAUCUGAAAAGUGAAUUCACUGACUGUAUGCAGUGCUACUGCUACGUUUGUGAUUCUGCCGCUCCAUGUGGGUUAUGGAAACCAUCGCAUUGCCAUGCCGCUGCGCACAUUGGUGAUUGGAAGUCCAAAAGGAUGUUGAGGAAGCAGCAAGCCGCGGUGAAGAAGUGAACAAAACUCUCGUUGUUUAGCCGAAUUGCAGUUAAUGGGAUGCGAGAAAUACCAAAAAACUGAACCGUUGUUCCGCUAUUAGGCCGAUUUGCAGUUAUGGGAUGCGAGAAAUACCAGGAGAGUGAACUGUUGUUUUGCUCGUAAGCAGUCAAGUUCAAGUAAUUUUGUUCAUAGGGAAGGUACUUGAAAUGGCGUUUGUUCUGACUCGAAAAAUUGUAGUUACUGAUGAACUUAUGAUGUUGGUAGAGAUGGAAUCAAAUUUGAUCAGUUCAAUUCGAGUUGUUUUCUUGUUAUGGUUUGCAGGUAUAAGUGGGUUUUAUUGCUGGUAACCGGAAUUGCAUAUGCCUCAUGACAUGGAAGAGCAUCUAUCAAGUUGCAAAUGUCUUUUGUUGCUUAUUCGGAGAAUUAAAAUCUUCAUGAACGUGAUGGUUCAUCAAGCCGCUAGUAUCUCAAGAUCCUUUCAAUGAUCUAUGUUGUGUUGAAGGGAUAUCUGUAUGCUCCGAUUGAUUGCGGAAAGUCCUGUGAGACCUUAAUCGGAUGUGUAGUCAUAGGUAGACCUGGCAUUUUGGACCCGACCCGUUAAUAUUAGUAUUUGGGUGAAUGUUUAGCGGGUGAAUCCGUUAAUAACCCGUUAAAUAACUGGUCACUUUGGAUCAACCCGUUAGACCCGUUAGCACCUGUUAGUUGAGAAUGUUUUAGUAAUUUCAAUCAAGUCUUAACAACAAAAAUAAACUUUAUGAAAAAAAAAGAUUUAAUUGUUAACGGGUGAAACGGGUGACCUGUUAGCUUAACUGGUAUGGUUCGGAUGACCCGUUAGCGUAACGAGUUGGGUUCAGAUGAUCCGUUAACUUAACAAGUCGGAUUGAACCCGAUCUAAACCCAAUAAACCCGACCUAUUUACAGGUCUAGUCAUAGGUGGGAGGUGGCGACGCACAACAACCAAUCAUGUCCCGUUGCUUGAAAGAAAAAAAACUCAAAAAAAUGGGUGAUCGAAGGUUAGCGUCUGGUUAAGUUCUAGUAGGGGCUUUGCUUAACCGGACACAUCAGUUGGUAACCAAAAUUUGGCGUGAUAAGUUAGUGUAUUUAGAAUUAUCUCUCUCUUAACAUGAUUGCAACAUAUAAACAUGUAACUUUGGCCGGUCGUCGUUGUAAGCAUGCUAAAUUUCUUGCAUCCGAGUUUGAAUUUCCUUAAUACAGCACACGUGAUUUAGUCAUUGGGCUUAUGUGUGCCAAGAUAUGAAUGUGGGCGAAUUGUACCAAAUACGGCGGGCCCAAUUGUAACAAGAACCCUUUGCCCUCGCGAAUCAUCAUCAAUCAUAUAUCAUCCAUCUCCGUCUCGCUUUCUCUAUACCCACUGCUGCUCCUGCCGAACGGCCAAGACUGUUCCCCUUUAUCCGUUUCAGAAUUCCAGAGCUCCGCCGAGGAACACAAAAGAUGUCACCGGCUCCACUUGUUCAGCAGGACGCCGCCGCCGCCGACGAGGUCUCCUCCGUCGAGCAGCUUCUCAAGAGCUCUAAUCCGGUAAAGCUCUUCCCUUUUCCCUUUUUUGUGGGGAUUAUAUAAUUUGUUUUCAUUUUCCGUUUUUGUUUAUUUACUAAGUUUUGAAUGUUGGACUGGUGUUAUUGGCAGAACAAGGAGGAAGACGAAGUGGUGGUCGAGGACGUGAAGGACGACAAUGACGAGGACGAGGACGAUGAGGACGAUGACGAGGACGACGAUGAUAAGGAAGACGGCGCUCAAGGUUGCUCUUUUUUCCUUCUUGUCUUUUCAAUUUUACGGCAUAUUCGUCAUUUGGUUUCUGCUGUUUAUUUGUUCUCUGUGCUUCCUGAAUGUUCCCUGUUGCCUGGAGUUUUGGAUUUGUUACGAAUAUUAGGAGCACGCAGAGGAUGAAAAGUUCAGAUUUUUAUAAAGGCUAUGGAAAUAUUGAGAGUUUAAAAGUUUUCUUGGCUGAUUUUGAUGUUAGUUUUUGAGAUGUUUUCGACCCAAAACGUAGAUGCAUGAUUUUUUGUUCAUUUGUGCUAAUGUUUCUAGGAUUCAUAUAGCCCACUUAGGCCCCGUUUGGGAUUGAGGUGAUUUAAAAAAAAGCCACUGUGAAAAAAAGCUGAGGGUCAUUUUUGUGUUUGGUAAACUGAAAAAAAAGGGCUUAUUUUGGAAGCUGCUGUGAGAAUAAGCUGAAAAUCAAAGGAAAAGCUGAAGCUGCUAUUUGCUGCUUUGAAAAAAAGCCAGUUUUUUCAAAGCACAUGGAGCUACAGUGCUCCUUUAAUGAAAAGACACACUAUCAUCCUGCUUUUUUUUCCAAAAGCACUUUCACAAAAAAGUUUACCAAACACUCUACUGGCUUUAUUUCACGGCCGCUUAUUCUCACAGCACAGCCGCUUAUUCUCACAGCAGUUUUUUUUCAAAGCACAGCAAUACCAAACCAGCCCUUAGUGGGAUAAGGCUUGGUUGUUGCCGUUGUUGUUGUUUUUGACACGAAGUGUAGUUCAGUUUGUUCUGAACUAUAAAGAUUCAAACUGUUUUCGUUCGUUUAUGCUACGGUUUCUUUGUGAGCCUGAUUUUUUUUGUGUUUGAUUACAAUGAGUUUGUGUUAUUUAUGUUGUCCUUAAAGUGAUCUUGAUUAGACGAUGAUGAACAGGUGGAAGUGGGGCUUCGAAGCAGAGUAGAAGUGAGAAGAAGAGUCGAAAGGCUAUGUUGAAGCUUGGGAUGAAGCCUGUUACCGGCGUUAGCAGGGUUACCAUCAAAAGGACCAAAAACGUAAGUUGAUGUUUGGUUUCCAGUUGGUGCAAUUGGGAUAUUGUUGUAUGAUGCUCGAUAUUCAUUGUUUGUUUGCUAUUUCUUGGUGUUUCAGAUACUAUUUUUCAUCUCGAAACCUGAUGUGUUCAAGAGUCCAAACUCUGACACCUAUGUCCUAUUUGGCGAGGCCAAGAUCGAGGAUUUGAGCUCCCAGCUUCAGACACAGGCUGCUCAGCAGUUCAGGAUGCCAGACAUGAGUUCUGUGACGGGGAAACCAGAGAUUUCGGCAGCAGCUGCUGGAGCUCAGGAUGAAGAGGAGGAAGAGGUUGAUGAAACCGGGGUGGAGCCUAGGGACAUUGAUUUGGUCAUGACACAGGCUGGGGUAUCGAGAAGCAAGGCCGUCAAGGCGCUCAAGACUCACAGCGGGGACAUUGUCAGCGCUAUCAUGGAGCUCACCACAUAAUUGGCCAAUGUCAACAGUUUUUGUCAAGCUCAUUGUUUACUUGAUGAGUGUUUUGAAUCAGUGUCGUGUCGGUCAUUGGUUUUUGUAGCUCAAUCGGACGCCCGUCUAUGUGUAUCUGGAUUGUGCUUCUCUAUUCUUGUGGAGACUCAAAACAUUGGCAGUGAUGGCUUUCAGGUUUUCUGAUGAACUUCACUCCUGAGUCAUGAGUUUUUAAAGUUUCUAAUUCAUCUUUUAAUUAGAGACGAGAUUUGACUACCUAGUACUAAUGAUACCAACAGGAUCCUCUCCGGAUUCUUUUGGUGGGGAUCCUGGAGAUUCGUAAAUCGUAUUUGUUCAUCGUACAUCGUACAAUCAGUUUUUGUUAGGUAUUAUUUGUAUUUAAUUUUAAAUAAAAAUAUUUAAAAUGAUUUCUAACCGCACAAUGUACGAUGAACGAAUAUGAUUCACGGAUUUUCAGGAUCCUCAUAAAAAGGAUCCGGAUUCCUAGUAAUAUUCUUAUUUGUUUGUAAGUGGGAGGAGGUAUUAGGUUUGACGACAAGCUUAAAACUUGUUGAUCAAAUCUCAUAUCUUAUUAAACAGUGUCUGUAGGAUAACAUGGUUUAUGUUGUCAUAUAGUAUUACUCUUAGGUGAUAUUCAUUUUUACUUGUAAAUGAAGAGUUUUAAGUUUGUUUGUCGUAAUAAACUUUUACCAAAAACAAGAAUCAAUAAACAAAAAACAAGUAAACACAACAUGGUGGUCCAAUGGUUUGGACGAAUUCCAGGACCAUAUAUCAAAUGGCAUGUUCUAAGUUCAAUCUUUGUUGUUGAUGAAUCAUAUGAUGGUGUUCAUGAGAGGAUAAAAUUCUCUGUGAGUCUUUCCAACCACCGACAAUAUAAACUGUUGUGAUGAAGCCACUAGCUGAUCCUAUUUUACGAGAAGAAUAAACCAAAACGAGUGGUGAACUGCAGAAUAAAAAAUGAGUGCAUUUUCCAUCGGAAAAAUAUUGCAAGAGAUUUAAUGAUUGGGCUUGGUGGUGCCGCCAAAAACUAGCGGGCCCACUCAGAAACCGAAACCCUUUGCCCUCGCGAGUCAUCGUCUCUCUAUACGCCGCUGCGUCUGCGUUACGAAUUUGCUAAGACAUCAUAUUUUUAUCCGUUUCAGAGCUUCUAGUCUCCGCCGACAAACCCGAAACAUGUCACCGGCUCCACUGGUUGAGCCCGAAGCCGUCGCCGCCGAAGAGGUUGUCUCCGGCGACCAGCUUCUCAAGAACUCUAAUCAGGUAAAGCUCCUCCCUUUGUUUAAAGUACCCAUUUUUUGUUUGGUCUAUAUAUGUUUCGAUUUCCGAGCUGCUACUGUUGUCAGACCAAGGAAGAAGAGGAAGUCGUGGUCGAGGACGUCAAGGACGACGACAAGGACGAGGACGAGGACGAUGAGGACGACGAUGAUGACGACGAUGAUGACAAGGAAGACGGCGGUCAAGGUUUGUCCUUUUUUUUUUUUGCUGUUCUUAUCCUUUCGAUUGCUUGGAGUUUUGGAUUUUCCAUGGAUGUCUUUGCGUUUUUUAAGGGCAUGUUUGAUUGGUAGGAGCAUAUAGAGGGUGAAAAUAUUAGACUUUUGCAAAAGCUAUGGAAAUAAUGAGAGCAUAACAGGUAGCUCGAGUGAUUUUGAUGUUAAUUUUGAAGUGUUUUCGGUAGAACCCAAAAGCCGAAUCGUAGUUCUGUUUGUUGUAAACUAUAAAGAUUCAAACUUUUUCAUUCAUUUAUACAGUAUUUUUUGCUGCUCAAUCCCAAUGAGUAUGUAUUAUAACAGGUGGAAAUGAGUCAUCGAAACAGAGCAGAAGCGAGAAGAAGAGUCGGAAGGCAAUGCUGAAGCUGGGUAUGAAGCCUGUUACUGGUGUUAGCAGGGUUACAAUCAAGAAGACCAAAAACGUAAGUUGCUGUCUGAUUUCCGGUUUGUGAAGUUGAGAUAUGGUUAUGGGACGGUCGAUGUUGAUUGGUUGUUCUUUUUUUGUGUGUUUCAGAUGCUGUUUGUUAUAUCGAAACCCGAUGCCUUCAAGAGUCCAAACUCCGAUACCUAUGUGAUAUUUGGCGAGGCCAAGAUUGAGGAUUUGAGCUCUCAGCUGCAGACACAAGCUGCCCAGCAGUUCAGGAUGCCGGACAUGAGUUCUGUGAUGGGGAAACCAGAGAUUUCUGGAGCAGCUGCCGGACCUCAGGCAGAUGAAGAAGAGGAAGAGGUUGAUGAAACCGGGGUGGAACCUAAGGACAUUGAUUUGGUCAUGACACAGGCCGGGGUGUCAAGGAGCAAAGCUGUCAAGGCUCUCAAGACUCACAGCGGGGACAUUGUCAGCGCCAUCAUGGAGCUCACCACUUAAUUUGUUAUCCUCGUGCUCGUUGUCAGUUGAUGAUGAGUUUUUUUGAGUCUGUCGGUCGUUAGCUAUUGUUGUCCAAACGGACGCUCGUCUAUGUGUGGAUUUAUGGUGCUUUUCUUUUCUUUUGUGGACUCAAAGACAUUGGUAGUGAGGUCUGCUGGUUUGCUGAUGCGCCUUCGCUCCUAUGUCAUGAGUUUUUAAGGUUUCUAUUUCGUCUUUUAAUUCUUCCACAUUAGAGUUGUCUCCUGCAAUUUGCUCGAUCUCGCUUUGCUUUGUCAAUGACAUAGAUCGAACCCUGGGGUUGUUUGGCAGUGAGUCUUAGUGCUCGUUUAGAUGUGCUUUUUAAAUGAUUGAAAACGUUUCUGAUGAAAAUGUUUUUAGAACAAAUCAUUUGUAAAAAUACAAGUAAAUUCUGAAAAUGCACUUAAAUGCUUCUUACAGAAAGCACUUUAAGUGCUUUUGAAAUCAAAAAUCACCAUCUCUAAAAGCGUUAUCAGUCAUUUUAAAAGCACUAUUUUGUGGAGGACGUGGAAUCGAUGCCCUAAAAGGAGCGACAUGUGCAAGAUUAAUUCACCCUAACAACAUGUGCGAAUGAACGUGUAAUGAAAUGCAUGCAUGCAUCCAUGCACCUGCCCACACACUGUCGAAGACUUGAUCGUAAUUACAUAAUUGUAGAACACAUACGUUCCGAAAUAUUCAAAUUAAGUUCACAAACUUUGUACAAAAAUAUCGCAUCCAGAGUCAUUUAGUUUGGAAAUAAGCAAAAGAGGAAAGAGGAAUCAUCCACCACCCAGGAAGGGAUGUUUUCUUUCCAGCAUCAGGUUCCUCACUUCUGCCCCCAAACCUCCUCCUUCAUGACAUGUUCCCAAUCCGAGGAAGAGCUAUCGUACCAACCUGCCGGAAGCAGAUUCCCAGGCCUGUUGAUCUUCUGAUUAUCUGUCGGUGGACCGCCCAAGAACAGAUGGAAUUCCUUAGCAGCCACCAUAUUAUCUUCACUACUGCCAGCUUCAUGACUCUGCAAAAUAGGUUGCUCCUUCAGUUCUGAACCUUCACCCUCCGAUGUCUUGCUAAUAAACGGCCAGGGGUUUCUCAUACCAGCAUACCCAAGCCCACCAGUUUCCGGCAGUUGCUGCCCUUCUGAAUGCAUGUAAGAGUUGUCAAUCCGGGAUUUAAGGAUCUGAAGCCUCGACAUAACAGAAUCCUCACAGUCGUUUCCCUCGUCGGUUGUGCUAGAAUGAGUAGAAUCCUGGAUGUUGAACUCGGGCAUUAAGCUAUAACUCGUGCUAGGUGCAACUGCAGAUAUCUUGGGGUCUGGAAGAUGUUGCCCUUCAGUAUGCAAGUCAGCGUAGUUUUCAAUCCGGGAUUUGAGGAUAUGAAGUCUGGACAGAACAGAAGCCUCGCAAUCGUUUGAUUGGCUGGUAGUGAUUGACAUGGAAGAAUCCUGGAAGUUGAACUCAGGUCCCAAGAAAUCACUUGCGUUGGGUGCAAUUACGUCAAUCUUGGGUUCAAGACACACAUCGGAGCUGGAUGAUUCCUCCAUAUUGGCAGAACUAAUGAAUUUCGAUUUCUCAACCCGGUCUCUUAUGAUAUGAAAUCUGGCCAUAACAGAAGCCUCGUCAUAAUCAUCUGUUAUCCCAACUGUAUCUGAUGCAGGAGAAUCCUGAAUGGAAAUACCAUGUGAUGAUGAGCUACCAUUUACUUCAGAUGGAAUAUUAUCACCCUUGUUUGGUUCAGAAACCUUGGAGCUGGAUUCGCCCCCAUUGGCAGCACCAAUCAAAUUUGAGUUCUCAAUACGGUCCCUUAAGAUACGAAAUCUGGCCAAUACAUCAUCUUCCUGGCUUAAUACAGGUAAAUCCUGGAGACUUGAAAUUGGACAAUCAUGAGCAUCAGGCGUCAAUGGGUUAACUGGGUUUGAAUCAGGGGAAACCUCAGACAUUGAUUGCUUCAUCAUAUCUGCAUUAUAUUCAAAGCCGUCAGAAACACAAUCAUAAAAUAAAGAUAAGAUCAAAGUUUCUUGUUUAUAGGUUAUAAAACUAUGGCAGUAAUGUAAGAGCAUUAACCUUUGGAUUUCUCUGCCUUGCACUUAUCCAUUUCUAUCUUUGUACGAUUAAAACGAGCUUUGUAAUUAAUGGAACAUAAUACAGCUUCAGCCUCGAGCCAUAGGUCCUUGUACAAGAGGGCUUGAGGGUCUGUUUCUUCAGCAUGAAAAUUCUCACUAAGAAUCUUCUUUAUAGCCUACAAAACCAAGGUCCAUGGCAAUAACUAACUAAUUUUUUGUACUUCCUCAUCCCUCAACGGCAAGAAAUAUAACUUGACAUUUUACUUUAUCAAGCUAGGUAUAGGGGUACCUGAGUCAUUUUAUCUUCUUUCGCCAUGUUUUUGUCACUUUUCACAGAAACAGAACCUACAACUUUAUCCUGAAUUUUAGAGGCAGAUGCCAAUGGAGCCCUGUCUGCAUUCACAACCUGAAGAAAUUAUUCAGCCAAGCAAAACAUUAUUAUAGAGUAUGAGGUGGUAAACUCUCCGCUAUUCAUUUGAAAAUGAAGUCCAAAAUAAGAUUCCAAAAACUUAAGCAGCAUACCUUGUUAUGCUCUGUAAACUCUCCGUUACACUGAGAAGUGUUUUGCAGGAACAAUGGCAUUUCCUGUGUCGGUGACAAUUUCUCACCAUCCUUUGAUAUGCAGAUAUGCAGGUUAUUGAUCACAGCUUUUAUGGUCUCAAUAUCAUUUUUCUUCAAUUGAACCAAGCCAUAUGAACAAUUACUAAGCAGCAAUUCUGACAAGUUAUUCAUUGUAUCAACCAGCAUCUGUGCACCCACUUUUGGCAUAGAAUCUUCCCCAUCAGAUUUGGAAAGCUUAGUAGGUGCAUCCUCCACAGACGAACACAAUAUAUUUUCUACAGCAUGAGAAGGCACAUGCACCGAACCAUAUUCCAUAGUGUCACUGACAUUCAGUUUAAAAUCUGGACCACAAGUCAAUGUUGUUUUCUUUAUUUCCGUUGCUAAUCCGUCUUCUCCACCACAACCUUGUUCCAUUGUAUGAGAAUGGCCAAAGAGACCAAAGGAAUUUUCCCCACUCCCUGAUUUAUGGAGGACAUUUCUGUAACUUUGAGGUCCUCUACCAUGGCUUGUUUCUGAGUUAUAAGUGGUCUUCGCGGUAUCAUCUAACUUAUGUUCUCCAAAAGCUGAGUUUUCAACUGAAUAUCUCUUCAAAGGAAGGGUCACACCCUUUUCCAGCCACCCAAGAUCAUGGUAUUCAACGGUGUUCUUGAUAGGCUUUUGGGAGGAAACAUCUUCCGCAGCCUUUAGUGGAAACAUCAGUGGCAUUGGAAAAUGCAAACCAUUGUAGUCCUCUAGUUUCUUUAACUGUUCUGGAACCCCUUCUUCAGAGGAUUCAAAUGGAGAAAACCGACUACCAGGAACUCCUUUCCAGCAAGGCGAGUCCACAGCUGGAUUAUUAGGAUCUACAUUGUCAGAUGAACUCGGAAAACAAUUGACGGUUUCAUUUGUAUUAACUGACACAUUAAAACCACCAGGACUAACAUGAGGAUUUUCAAGUCCAGACUUCGCUUUAAACACAUGAUCCCAUGGACUCUUGUUGAGACUUCUAUUAUUUAACAGCUCUUCAUUUCUUUUUGCAAAGAAGCUAUCAUUUAUUCCAAGAAGACUGUCAAAUUGGCUUGAACUGAAACGACAGUUGCCUUCAGAAACUUGUAGCAGACGAGACUCUUGUACACUAGAGGGAUAAUAAUCAUCACGAUCUGUCUCAGCAGCAUCACUUCUGAAAUUCAACCUUUUGAACAGACCUAUCUCUGGUUCUGAAGAUUUAGUGCCAAUAGCUGGUAUUCUAGUGGCAAAGGCAGAAGAAGACUUUGAAGUGGACGAAAUAUCAUCCAUACUAGCAUCAUGCUGUUGUUGCUCAGAGAACACACUGUACGGUGUUUUACAGUUUGUGGUGUUCGUGAUAAAUUGUGAGGAUGAUGCCUUAGGAUGGGUUUCUGGAACUGCUGAAAAGGAUCCCGUGACAGAUUUUGAAAAGUCAGCAGGGAUGAAUUUGGAAUUUUUCGCCACAAAGGAUUUAUCACCUAAGUGCUCUGCACUUACAGAUCCACCAAGCUUUUCCCAACCCUGAAUAUUGAUGCCAUGUGAUGCUUCUUCACAUGAGGGGUCUGCACAUUAUACAGAUAGUUAGGGGAAAAUAGAGUAGGGUUGCAUAACAAACAGGAAGUGAACCAAAAAAAUGAAAACAAAAGUAGUUGCACUGGAAAAAUUCCAUAGGCGCAUAACUUGGGGAAGACAUACCUUGGUUCAUGUAAUUCUUGUAAAGUGAUGAGCCGGAAACAUCAGUCUUCUUUGAGCAGAAAUUUCCAUUAAAGUCUCCCUGUUUACCCUGCUCCCGCUCCCACUCCCACAAGCCACCCCACUGGGUAGUAUACUUUGGAUCAGAAGGGUUUUGAGUGUAAUCCUUGUGAGAGGAGCUAUCCAAGGGAGCAAAAUGAGUACUAGACAGCCAAUCAUAACUAGGCUGACGAGGAACCACCAUGGGGGAACACUCGGAACUGUUGAGGUUAGAUAAGAGGGAUAAUAAGGUUUGGCCUCAACAAAACUAGUUGCAGCAGCAUCGAAGGAUUGAUCGUACUUAAACGUACUGGGUGAAGUGGUGGUAAUAGUGUUCAAAGGAGGCAAGUUUGUAUUGGAUGGUUCAACAGUCUGCAGGCCUGCAUAUCCAUACGCAUUCGAUGGAGGAAUUGAAUUGAGAUCUGGGGUGGGAUUGGCAAAGAAAUUAGAAGGGGUAGUGGUCGGGUGAGAAGGAAGCCAAUUGUGCAAAGAAGAAUUCAUGGGGGCAACAUAAGGUGGCUCAGUCACAUCAAGUGAGCUUGACAUGGGUUUUGGCACAGGCCGAUCGACAGUAAAAGGUGGCGCUAAAGCCGAUAAACUUGAAGGCGAUGAUGAUGAAUAUGGAUAAGAUCCUCCAAUUCCAUAAGGAACAAAUCCCGCCAUUCUUAGACUUUGGUUCUACACACAAAUUAAAGUAAAUUGAUCAAGACCCGCUAAAAUUAACAUCAACUAAGAAAUACUGAAAUAAAAAGGUCAACCAGAGCUAAAAUUUCCUAAAACAUGAACACUCACGACAAAAAUCAAAACUUUAUGAAGAACCCAUUUGUCAAACACCAUAAAGAUUAUCAAAUAACAACGAAAUUAUUAUGAUCUUUGAGAAUCGUGCGAAAAAAAUGAAAGAAUUGGUGAUGCUGCUUACAAUAUGAUGACGAUCAGAGCAUCCGUUUUCAGCAAUCGCCCAAUUAACUGGGUAAAACAAGGAGGAAAUAAAAGCACAAAAGCUGUAAAAUUUACAAAACAGUAGUAUUCCCUUGAAUAUGUAUAUAUAUAGUUCUCUUGCUUAACUAUAUCCUACAGCUACAUCAAUAAGAAAACCCAGAUUACAGAAUAUGGCAAGAACAGCAAAAUCAUAAACCAAUCUGGAAAUUAUUCAAGAAAUCUGAGAUUUUGAAUCAAUUGGGGAGAAAUUCAUACCAGAGGAGUGACGAGUGAGGGAGGAGAGAGAGACAGAGAGAGAGGCAGAGAUUGGUGGCAGAGUGUCCUCCGGGUCUUCACCGUCCAAGAGAAGCCAGGAAAAGGAGAAUUUUGGGUUCAAAAGUCACUCUCUUUGGUUUUGGCCUUUGAUUUACGCUUAUCUACAAAGAAACCCCUCUCAUUUCGAAGAAAUGAUUUACCUCCCCCUACUUUUGACAAUUAAUUUCUCUUCCCCUCAACUUGUAUUCAUCUUGAGUGUAUUUUUUCUCACAUCCUAAAAGUGAGGUGAUGCUCACUCUCUUUGUUUGUUAUCGUUAAAUUAAUUUGUUUUAAUCGAUCUAAUAUAUGAAUAUUAAAAUUUAAACUAAUUUAACGAUAAUCAGUAGGGGUGAUGCUUACCCCUUACUUUAGGAGGUGGGCAAAAGUAUUCCCUCCAUUUUUUUUUCUAAAUCUGGCUAAAGAUUUAACAUUAACCUUCUGCGUUUCACAUCUUAAGUUUGAUUAUUCUACUCUCAAUAUUGUUUGUAUAAACAAAGUACAAUGUUCAACUUUUAUGUUUGCAAAUUGUGAAUCAUAAAAGAAAGAUUAUGGACUUGUAUGUAUGAAUCUAGGUCUUAAAAUUGAAGUAAUUCUUUAAUGAAGAUCCUAAUAUUGUUUUGUCGACAAAUCAAUUCAUACUUAUAUUAUAAUGCAUGUAUUUUUCUUUAAUUUUUUUUAUACACCUUAUAAAUUUUUGGUUUACUCAUAUCAUAACAUGUAAAUUAGUAAUAUCAUAUAACAAAUUUUCAUUACGAAGAAUAUUAAUGCAUGAGACCCUAGUUUAAACAGUUAUAAAUAAGGAAAAAACUUAACCGCAUGGUUGGUCAAAAUACUUUUAAAACCAUGAGACUCAUUAUAUUUUAAUUUUGCACCAGUUUUAUAUUUCUCUAGUACGAUAUGUGAGUUGUCAUAAUCAUGCAAUCAUUUUCAGUGAUAGACUUUAUUAUCACGAGCAAAGGAGUUGUAAAUGAACCAAAAGAGGGUCUGAGAGUGUGAGUUAUUGGGUGGGACAACUCUCAGAGAAAAUGCAGUGCAUCUUCUUCAACCAUCUAUCAUGACUUGUUUCUAUCGUUUGUAACUAAUUGUCGAGUGAGAAAAAGUUUAAAGAUAGCUCAAACUAAUUAGCUACAAAACCAAAUUUGAACAUGUCACAAAAUAUAAUUUGUCUUCUCAAAAUUCAACUCUAUUUAUAAUUAUUUAAUUAACUACUGUUUUAGUCAAGUCGUUGGAAAAUCUUCAAGAUUAAAUGUCCACACCGACAGCUUUCUCUAUUAUUUUUUAUGAUUCAAACUUGUGAAUGGUUAGACCGACCAAGCAAGCAGUCGGAGGCAUGGAGUGUUUGUGGUUUUGUUCUUCACAUAACAUAUAUACAACUAGGGCUGGAAAAAAAUCCCAAAAAUCCCAAACCAAACCGAAAAAUUCCCGAAACCAAACCGAAAAAAUCCCAAACCGAAAUUCCCGAAAAUUUCGGUACCCAAUACCGAACCGAUCCCGAAAUUUCGGUACGGGAAUCGGUCUCAAGUUUUUGGGAUUUUGGUAUUCCCAAACCGAACCGAAAAAUAUAUAUAUAUAUAUUAUUUAAUUUUUAAAUAUAUAUUUAGAUCAACAGAGUCCAUAGAAAAUGAAGGCUUCAAUAGUUGCACAUAUUUCUAUAUGAAUGAUUUAAAUCGACAGAGUCUUGCAAUUGUAGCAUCUACAUUUGAAUCCAGAUUGGCAGUCUUGCAAUUGUAGCAUCUACAUUUAAAUUAACAUAGUCUUGCAAUUGGCACAUAUUGCAAUGGGUUUCUUAGCAUAUUGCAGCCCAAAAGUGUUAAAAUGUUCAAUUUUAGCCCAAAAACAUAAUAUUUAGUCCAAAAGCCCAAAAGCCCAAAAUCAUUUCGGGAUUCCCGAUUUGUCCCGAAAUCCCGAAACUAUUUCGGGAUUCCCGAAAAUUGGGAUUCCCGAAAAUUUGGUUUGGGAUCGGUAUUGAAAUUGGGAUUCCCGAAAUUUUUGGUUUGGGAAUCGGGACAAGGGUUUCGGUAUGGGAUCCCAUACCGAACCACCCCUAUAUACAACAACAACAACAACAAAGUCUUUUCCCACUAAGUGGGGUCGGCUAUAUGAAUCCUAGAACGCCAUUGCACUCGGUUUUGUGUCAUGUCCUCCGUUAGAUCCAAGUACUCAGUCUUUUCUUAGGGUCUCUUCCAAAGUUUUCUUAGGUCUUCCUCUACCCCUUCGGCCCUGAACCUCUAUCCCGUAGUCACAUCUUCGAACUGAAGCGUCAGUAGGCCUUCUUUGCACAUGUCCAAACCCCUUUUGUGUACGUGUUGGUGCUUCACCGCCCAACAUUCUGUGCCAUACAGCAUCGCCGGCCUUAUUGCCGUCCUAUAAAAUUUUCCCUUGAGCUUUAGUGGCCUACGACGGUCACCCAACACGCCGGAUGCACUCUUCCACUUCAUCCAUCCAACUUGUAUUCUAUGGUUGAGAUCUCCAUCUAAUUCUCCGCUCUUUUGCAAGAUAUAGAUCCUAGGUAGCGAAAACGGUCGCUCUUUGGUAUUUCCUGAUCUCCGAUCCUCACCCCUAACUCAUUUUGGCCUCCAUUUGCACUGAACUUGCACUCCAUAUAUUCUGUCUUUAAUCGGCUUAGGCAAAGACCUUUAGAUUCCAACACUUCUCUCCAAAGGCUAAGCUUCGCAUUUACCCCUCCUGAGUUUCAUCUAUCAACACUAUAUCGUUUGCGAAAAGCAUACACCAAGGAAUAUCAUCUUGAACAUGGAUCAUCAAUCAUAAAAUUUGUCACCUUUUGUUCCGUCCCAUCAUCAGGGUUUUUUUUUAAUUUUUAAUUUUAUUUUUUUAUAUUAUAAGUUUGAACAAUUAAACUGAAGACUCACAAAUGUCCCGAUUAAAAAAUGUGACUAUGAGACGGAGGUCCAGGACAAAAAAGAUAAAAGAAGACCUAGGAACACUUGGUUAGAAACUUUAAGAAAAUAUAUAGUAUUUGGAGCUAACGAAAGAUAUGACGCAAAUUCAAACGCUGUGGAGUUCUAGUAUUUGUACGGCCGAUCGCAUUUAAUGGGAUAAGUUUUUUGUUUUAUAUUAUAGGUUAUAUGUCAUUUGUCAGUUAAGAUAUUGAUGCAGUGAAGCAACUAUACCUAAUAAUUGCUAAAGAACUUAGAUUUAUGUCUAAUUUUAUCAAAUUGUUUUCUUGCAUUAGUUUAUUUGUUUACCAAUUUUAUUAUAAUUUAAACGAUAUUUGUCUCAAAGCAUUUUUACUGAUAACGGGCUAUAUUCCAUUGACUCAGCUUGAGCCUUGAUCUGCAAUCAAUAGAAUAUUAAUAAUCUUAAAUCAGGCAAUUAAUUAGUUAAUCAUCAUUUGAUCUCUUUUACGGAUACAAAAGAGACUAAUUAAUCAACAAAAACCUGCUGCCUGCAAUAUAAAACUUGCAUAAUAUAUGAUCCAAGAUUACAUAUGCAUGUAUGACUAAUUACGCGAUAAAUUAAACUAAUAGAAGAUUACUGCAGAAAACAGAAUUUCAUAUACAUACACCGUUUUCAUGGAAGCAUACUGCAGCAUCCAAAAAUGAAUACGGAUAAAGUAACCAAAUAAAGAAGAUAUCAAUGAAAGACGUGCAAAUUAAGCAACCAAUUAGAGAAAGAAAGCCGCCCAAUCAAUCUCAGGAGUGUAUCCAUCAGUGAUGUACACUAGCUUAAAAAUAUAGAUAAAAGGAAGAAGCAGCGUCGUGAGUGGAGGCCGGCCGAGAAGCUUGACGAAGAUUAUUCACGAGACCACGAAAACUGGUACUGUGCCGCCUUGGCGGUACGAGCUGCUCCGUCAUCCUCGCAAGCGCUGCUGUGUACAACCCUAGCAGCUCUGCAACAAUGCCUACCCUUAUCAUCCCUUCUUUUAUGAUUAAUUUUCUCACCCCCACAAAUUGUAGAGCCUCCGUUCAAGAGAGCGAGAGCGGCUACUGAGGGAGAGGUAGAGAGAGGUGUUGAUUGGUAGGUAGCUAUAUAGUUAGCAAUUACCGCGCCUUCAAAGCUUUGUUUCAAAGUCGUAGAUGGUUGGUGACUUUACAUAUACCUUUUAGUUGUUGUAACGUGU